RNAcentral lists this long non-coding RNA (69545 nucleotides) under Coffea arabica (coffee). RNAcentral describes it as "long non-coding RNA (CARA_LNC004932)". Lineage: Eukaryota; Viridiplantae; Streptophyta; Magnoliopsida; Gentianales; Rubiaceae. The record is from RNAcentral.
UUUUUUUUUUUUUUUUUUUUGGUAGAAGAGUUGUGUACUUUAACAAUAAUGUCUAACCAGAAAAAGUGGACAGGCUUACACUGUAUAAACAACCUUGAAUGUGAUUAACUAGUGGUGAUAGUGAUCAAAAUAGUGAUGUAGAACUCUAGUUUGACCGCCUAGAUUCCUUUGGAGUAGUACAAAUGCAGAGAACUUACUUUCAAAAUUAAGGUUAACUUUGCAGACAAAAGGAUGUCUAUUCGGAUUAAAAAAGAUUGAUGAUUGAAACAUGUAUAGGAAACUUUGCAGGAAAGUGAGUUAAAGCAAGUGGAACUCCGUGUGGCAACAAAGGAAAGUGUCACAAGUACUACCAUAUAUUGCAUUUGAUAUUUCGUGAAUUAGAUAGAUUAAAGUGCUUGCUCCAUUCUUGAUUGAAUAUCUGUCUUGGACUUGUAGUGAAAGAGACCUGCAAUUGUGGAGCCAAGGCUUAAAGAAUUCUAGGAUUAAACUGGAGAAUUAUAGCUAGAACUGCGUGACUUUCAAAUUUAAGAAAAAUUGAAGUGGGAUUAAUAAAUGGUCGAUCGAAACAAGUCAACUAGGAAGACUCAAAAUUAAGGGACAGAGAGCAAUUAUAAGUACCAAUGGAGACGCUUAUGUGAUUGUACUGAGAAAUUGCAGUCUAUACUGCCUGAUACUAUCUAUCUUGGGACUGCAAGCAACAAUGAAUGAAGCCUUCCUAUAGCAGUCAAAAUCUCAAAAAAGAUGGAAAGAAAGAAAGAAGAUGAAGAUGGAAUGAGUUUUAGAUUACUGGACGGGACAUGAAAAGAAAUAAAAAUAAAAAAAGGGUCUUUCGACAUGAUAAAAAUGUCCCUAAAUCUUUUUCAUGACACAGUUCCACUGUCCGACAUUUCCAAAGUUCUCUUUUGAGUAUUAUUAAAGCGUGACUUGUUGAGUACUAUCUCCUUUGCAAUGAAAGUCAAUGGCAAUCUUCCAACAGUACGUAAAAUGAUGCGAACAGUUUACACACUGGGAUUUAGAAAGCUAGUGGCCGUCCUGUCCAAAAUGUACUCGAGUGUCCCACCAAAAAAGAAGAAGAACAAGAACAAGAAGAAAAUAUGAAGUUGAAAAAAACAAGUUUAAUUCUAUGAAGUUGAAAUAAGCAUAGUUAUUAAACCAGGGCCAUGGGUUGGAUGGAUUAGCAAUUCAAAUGCAACAUUACGAUUCAACCAACCGGUGGUUAUAUAACAUCAUAAAAUAAUAUAUUUAAAUUACUAAAAACAAUAUAUAUGUUGAAUUGGUGGUUGAAUCAAUUGUUGAACCAAAGGUUUUUCUAUAUUUUGCCUAUUGAGCUGGCGAGUAGUUAAUUGGCUAAUAGGUUUUUUUUUUUUUCCUUAUUUGAUUCAAUUACUAACCUAGUCUGUUCAAGUAAUUAGUUCAUCGAGUUAACCAAUUAAACUGCCGAAUCGGGCUGAGUUAAGAAUACCACAUAGCAUUCAUAUUGUUGCUAUUGAAAUUUGUUCCAAGAAUAAUUACACAAAUUGUCAAGGCAAAAUUAGCCCUUUCAAAUCAACCUAUGACCAUAUUCGAUUUGACAUAAAAUGUAUAAUUUUAGUAUUUUUCAAAAACUAUCAUGACAUUGAAAUUUGAGUUUUUACAAUAAUAUCAAUCAAUUGUUAAGGACGAACAUAUAUCUCUUAUGAUACUAAAACAAUCCAAAGAAAUAGAUGGUAGAAAACAAGAUACAUGUGACUUGUUAGCAUGAGAAAGUAAGUUAGCAUACUUGAAUUUGCUCAUUCCAAAACCGCCCCAUGAUCCACUCAUGCACACAUGCACAUCACAUACGAUCAGUCAAAAACAUAAGCACAAAAGAAGAAAAGUUGUUGUUGACUUCUUUUGGCUUAUCCGAGUAGCAUCGUUUUUUCAGAUCUGCUAGCGUAUUUAACCGUGUACGGCUUCCAGGUUCUGAGCCCAUGUGUGGCUGUAGGAAGAAAGCUAAUAUUGCACAUGGAAAUGGAAACACCUGGGGACAGAAAGCGACUUGCCAUUGGUCAUUUGGUCCAGCGGUCGUCACCAUCUUUGGUGAUGCUGGAGGUCAGGGGUUCAAUCCCUGCCUCUCACAAAUUUGUCACUUUACGUGGUUGGUCUUCAGUCCCCACGGAAUAGCUCGAGCGGUCCGCUCCCCCUCCUUAGGGUAUGGCGACCUUCCUGACUUGUCCAGGGUUCGAGUCCCGUUGUUAAUGUGCUCGGUGUCAGGGGAUUGUCGAGCCCCGUAAGGAUUGAUUUCAUACUCCUGUGUUGACAAAAAAAAAAAAAAAAAAGAACAGAAAAGCUACCGGACUGUCUCGAGCGGUCCGCUCCCCCUCUGUAAUAAUAUCACUCAGCGCCCCUGCUCUGGACCCCCUGUGUUGACAAAAAAAAAAAAAAAAAAAGGGACAGAAAGCGACCGGACUGUCUAACUGUGCCAAAAUUUUUAAGAUUAUAAUUUAGAGUUAAUUUCAGAAACCUCACCUGAGGUUUGUAAUCGGUUUGUUUGGAUAGGGUAUUAUUUGAAAUAUUAUUUAAAAUAAUUAUUAUAGUACUUUUUUUUUGUGAUGUGAUGUAUGUGAGAUAAAAAGGUGAUUGAGAAUAUAAAAAGGUGGGUUAGAAAAUGUGUUUAUGAUACAAACAAAAUAUUAUUUGGGAUAAUAAAGCUAUCCUGAAAUGGAAAUGACAUGCUGUGUAUCAUUGUAAGUUUUUAUAUGUAGAAGUAUUAUUGUUAAAAAAUAUAUUGGAAUGGAAGAGAUUUUUCCUCAUCUAUCCUUACAUGAUCUAACUCAUGAUUUUUAUAAUAAGAAUCGAAAACUGUACAAGGAUGAAAUACUAUUAAACUAAGAAUUUGAGGAAGUAUAGGUACAACAAAAUAAUACAUUUGGUUUAACAAACUAGCCGUACAACCAUAUAUUAUUUUAACGAUAACUUCUGUAGCUCCUUCAACGGUAUAAAAAAGCUUGAAAAUAAAAAUAGGGCAAAAAUUAAGCAGCAAAGGGGCAAAGUAUAUGAGCAAACGGAAGAAGACUGAUAACACAAUACGAAAAGUUUAAGCAUAGGAGAAUCUUAUAAUUAAUUCACCAACAUCAUCCAAUUGAAACAUUGAUGUUUCGAACGUAAUUACAACGUGACAUUUGUAAUUUUUUAAACUGACAAGAAUCCAAAUCGGCGGCAUUGCAAAAUGCAAUUUCUUUCAUUGGUAUGGUGUAAAAAUGAUGCCCUGAGUAACCACAGCAAGAAGGUAGUCACGCUAUGCAAAAGGGACAUGUAUCGAAGUUACAAAUUCGACAAGCAUCAUACUUUGUAACAGGACACGAAUGUAUUUCUUUUCCCAACUUUUUCCUUCUUGAAAAGUAUUUAGACUUUGAGAGUCUCGGAUUGGGACAUCCAGUCACAUUAUAGUACCGUUAGCAAGAGAUUCAUGAGAUUUUUGAAAUUUAAGAGGAGCUAAGUGAUAUUAUUGUGAAAAAUCUCAGAGAUACUUUUUUAAAAUUAAUCCUACAAUUUAUACCUGUGCUACGUGUUGUCUUUCUUUUUUCAACAGCCUGAAUCAGACUUUUGUUGUUUUAUAAACCUAAUCCCAGAAUUAACCUCAAAAGCCGGCUGCUACGUGUUGUCUUUCGCUGUCCCCCUUUUAUUUCUUACCUCUGAUCCCUUGAUUAACCUAUCAUUCGCCAAGAAAAACUUGAUUUUGACAACGGACCCCAUAAAGCUAGUCCUUAUCCUUGACCAAGAAACUCGACGAUCUUUUUCCCGGGUUAUUUUCAUGACCCACAGGUAAGUAAAAAAAAAAAAAAAAAAUAAUAAUAAUAAUAAUAAAAGGGAGGACGGUAUCAUCAUGUAUGGCUAAAUCACACUAGUAGACUAACUGAAUCUUUUCUUAAAGAACUUUCAUUUUUUUUAGCCUUUGCACGUCUUUUUCCUUGCCUGCAGAUAUCAUGGGCUAAUUUAGGAGUGGAAGAUCUUUAACUUGGAUGUAAAAGGGCUACUUUGGAAUCCACUCCAUUUUUCAUUCUCAUACACAAAUUUUAUUUUUGAACGGUGAAUCAGUCUACUCGAUAUUAAUUAUUCUGGCUUCUUGACCAGAUAGAUCAUUUACAUUUUUAACCUGACUUAAGUUACGUAUUAAUUACAUAACAAUCUAGCCAAGUUUAAUUAUUACAUCCAUUAGGUUGAAUAGCACGGAAUUCUAUGCCAAGUUGAGAAAAACUAAUCGAGUUCUUGAGUGGAAUUCCAUUUUAAGGAUAAAUAUUCCCAUGCCAUGUCCUAGGUUUUUAACUGAGCCUGGGAGCUUUUUUACUGCUACUUUGUUCCCUUUCAACAUCACACAACAUGCACGUGACCCCGCAACACACAACAGAACCUAAUUCCAAUGAACAACGUUAAAAACAACAUAGUACUUACCUCUUUAGUUAAUCUUAUCAGAAUAAUGCAGCACUACUUUUGAUUACAUUACUCUUAACCUUUGAGAUUAGCAACAUUUUGGUGUUGUGGCCGCUUCUAAAUUACGCUGCCCGAGGUCCCUGAGACGCCGCUUUUGGCUCUUUGUCCCCGACCUUGGUGCCCCUCGAAGCCUCGAAGGCUAGCCACACCACUCCUGCUGCCUAUUAGCUCUUGGUCCCCCACGCCACCCCACCGCCACUACCACCACCACCAUUUCCCACUCAAAACUUUAGCCUUUAUGUCACUGACUCAAGAUUACAUAUACGAUUUUGGAGUGACAAAGAUAAGUUAGUAUAAUCGCGGGCUCUAAUUGAAUAGUCAUUAUGAGUUAUUAGGUACAAAUAUAUAUUCUCCCACCAAGAUUAAAAGGGCUAGUGGUAGGGGCAAGAGAGAUUUAGUUAAAAUAUUCAGAUGCUUUAGUGCUUUUAUCUUGAUUAAUUAACUGUGACAUGUGUGGCAUAUUGGAGGAUAAGUUGGUCCUACUCCCAACUUUAAUUUGGAGUGGUAUAUGCCUAGGAGUUGCUGUUUUCUUGGCAUUAGAUUCUCCAAUUUGUGGGGAAAUUGUCCCAAUGGCGCAGUGUGGAGGAUUUAAAAUCAGAUUGCGCCAUGGGGAUCAGAUCACAGUCUCUGCAUAUUUUCUUGAAGUUGGUUUGUGAAUUGACCAGGAAAUAGACAUCAUCAUUUGUGGUGGAGGAUGAUGAUGAUGCCAGGCUUCUUUCACGAGGGACUCCCACUUAAGACAAGAUGACCAUGAGCCAGUGACGAUCCAAGCAUUGAAGCUUGAUUUCGAGCUGGAAUGACAUUGUAUGGACUUGUAUAAAGAAUCUAAUCUAACUACAAGUAAGUAACUUGACUUUGGUAAUUUAAACACUAGACUAGAAGAAUCCUGGACUGCAUUCGAAACUUGCACUUACAAUUAAAAAAAAAAAAAAAAAAAAAAAAAAGGGUUCAUAGGAGUGUACUAGCUAGUUAGUCGUGUAUUUCUUGAAUUUAAUUUAGAGUGUUCUCGCAUUCUAAUUCCUUAUACUAUUCCAUUGGAUUAUCCAUUUCUCUUGAAUAUAUAGGAGGAUAAAGCAGGAAUAGUAUAGAUAUUUAAGUUCCCAUGUAUAAUUGCGUCUCUGAAAAAAAAAAAAAAAAAAAAACUCUUUUCACUGCUUAUCUAUGGCUGAUUCGCAAAAUAUCGCGGAUGAGAGAAAAGUACAUGAUAAUAUUUGUGAGACGGAGUUCUUAACAAAUCUUUUACUUCACUUUGCAAGGGUUGACAAUAAUUAUUUAUAGAGCAUCCACUUAAUGCCAUUCUUUCUUUCAUGAUAUUUCCAAAUGUAACAUGUAAAAGUAUAAUAGAGUUUUUUUUUUUUAUAUGAACAAAUUGUCUAUAUUUCAUGUUUCUGGGAUUAAAAAUUGAGUCCAAGGACAGAAGAAAGUAUUAUCUUUCAAUUAACAUACCUAAAUAAGUCCCGAUAAGUCACAUGCAAAAUCAGGGUCUCGAAGAUGCGUAAAACGAGUUCUCAUGUAAGUUAUAGGAUGUAAUUGGAUCUCACUCUCCCUGAACAAAUUUCCUUGACCUUCUUCUUAGUUCUUCCUGCCAAAAAUUUACAAGGGGCUUGAUUGGAUCCAACAGUGUCUUAUUGAAAAUCAACCGCAGGCUGUAGCCCAAACCCAAAAUGCUCUGACAGUUUUAAGCAAUCAUUAACCUCAUUCACACUUUUGGUGGGGAUCGAUGAUAGGACUCCAUCCGUAUGGCUGAACUGUAAACAGUAUACAGCAGAUUUUCUGAUCUUACAAGUCCAACAGGCCAAGGCAGCCCAAAAGUUUAAUGAAGUAGGCCAUUGAAGUGCACACCAAUUGCUCAGCCUAGAAUCUUGUCAACAUUACAUAAUCAUAUAAAAAUUUUUCAAAUGUACCUUGUUUUUGAUAACUCAAUUCAAAUACUCCUUCCGUUCCGAAAUAAUUGUUGCACUUCGGGGUCUUGUGCUUAUUUUCAACAGUGCCAAGAUUUCAAAUGAUUUUGGUGCAACUUCCAGCAAUACCCUUGUUCAGUUUCUAUGGAGUAUAACUGACUGACUAGCGGAAAGACAAUGGAAUGAUGACAAGAUCUGUGGGACCCGUGCCUCAAGAAUGUCUCCAACCGUUUUUUAAAAAAGUACCUUGCACGACCUUUGUUUGCAUUUGCUGUGGAACUCACGCGUAUCAAGUGCAAUUCUUGUAAUUUUUUGGGGCCCAUCAAAAGCUUAAAAGAAUCUAGUUUAUUUAAGGGCAUGAGAUGGAAAUGGAGGAAAGUUUUCAUUACCAACUGAGGUAAGUGAUAUUCAUUUUAUGACAGAUCAAAAAGGAAAAUAUGACAUUUUUUAAUGGACCGAGGAAGUAAAUGAUAGUUGUCCGUGACCAAGGUCAGAUUCUUGACAUCGAUAUUGUAAAAAAAAAAUGGGGUAGCAAGAAGAUGCAUAACGUGUCCGGACUAGACUUCCUAUUGGAUAUUCAAAAGCCAAGGGUUUUAGAUGGAAAUCUCAACGUCUUGGUGGAAUCAUGUUAUUACGCCUUGCAAGCACAUAUGUACUUUUCAGUUUGAAAGUUCCACUACUUGGUCCAUGUGCAUUAUUCACAGCAAAUGGAAAACCUCUCUGAAAAAAGCAUGUGUAACUUAACCAUUGCUAGUUUCUGCAUCUCCUUUCAAGUAAAAUCCAUUUGGAUGGUGAAUUCUUCCAUUGACUAAGAAUUUUAUUCUAAAUUACUAGAUGUUUAAAUAAACUAAUGAAAUGGGCAUACGCCUAAGGAGGGCAUCCUUACUAUAAAUUAACUACACAAAAGUUAUGAAGAAAAUGUAUUCAUCGCUCCACUAAACCAAAUAUGUUUAGUAUUCCACUGUUUAUUAGUGAGAGCGUAGAAGUUUCAGGAUAAAUAAAUCCCAAGUUUUGGGAGGAAGGUUGAGUUGGGUGAUAAGAUGGAAGGGAUUGCAAGGAAAAGAUUCUGAAUUCAAAACUUUUCGCUUAUUCAAAAAAAAUUAAAGGGAAAAAUCCCAAGCUUUAUGCUUUUUAGGUAAUUUGUUUUUACCAGUCAAAUCUUGCUUAUACAAGCAAUGCUAAGUUGUAGUAAUUAAACUUGUAUAAAGUACUGGAUGCAACGCCAGUGAAUAUCUGUCCUGCACCUUUAGAUUUCAUAGCUACCUUGAAAGACAGUGGACAACAACAACUAAGGUGGCUGAGCACGAAAUACAUUGGAGUUAGCUGGCUAUAAGCAAAACCAAUAUAUUUUUCUCAAAUGGAGAGGCACAUAGAAUUGUUUUGGACCAUCAGCCAAUCGUUAUGUGACUAACUCACACAGGUUACAAAAUACAAGUGCUAUUCUCAGAUACGGCGGCUGGCUCACUUUUCCUUAGUCAAAUGCCAAUUGUUCGCUCACCGAUUCUUGAUUUUCGUUUUUCAGACACAACUCAGCACAGUGUAUCCUCACUUUGCACCUAUUAUCUUAUAAAAUAGAUGCGUCCGUUUUCGGCAGGAUAAUACAAAUUGAAUGGGGAGCAAAAUUUAAAGCUGGAGACGUUAAUUCUUAAAAUAUUACUGUAAUUAGUAUCUUUAAACUCAUAUUUGUAAGCAAAUCUUUCAGCUCGUGGAUUUAAAUGGACCUGUAAACUUAUAAUUAAAUCUAGCUGUUGCUGUCAAAAUAUUCUGAGAUAGCAUGUAUGGAGCGAAAGAGAACCAAUUAGUCGUAAUAGCUAAUUUGCAUGUUGCUAUAGGAAACUAAAAUUAAUCCGACCCUUUAUCCUACUGAAAGCGAGACUUCAAUAUUUACACAGAUUUUCAAUUGGAAAGAUGGUAAUCAAGGUAGAACAACUUAAUUUUCAAAAAACCUUACGAUGAUAUUACCUGUAAACUGGUUGUAAUAAUCCAUGCAAGAAAUCGCAGUUAUUGAUUAAUUAGUGGUACAAAAAAAAAAAUUUUCAGUAGGGGAAAGAUGAGAUUUAAGAAGCGGGAGGGGAUAGAAGAUUAGAACCCCAAACCUGUAAUUCCUAAGUCUCAACCUUAGUCACUAGAUAGAGGUAUUAAACAUAAUAAUCAAUGAAUAAAAAGAAAACCACCUUUCCAUUAGUUAGCUUAAUCUGUCUGCUACAUCUCAUAAGUUCUGGAAAACUACAGGAGUUAAGAGCGUUUAAAGCUAAUAAUUGGCUCGAACUGAGGCAACUGAAGAUGUCUCCAGACAAGAACCAGGGACUUCGUAUAAUUGGAUCUAUAGCACCCCUUAAACCUCACACAUUCAUAGUGAAUGGUUGCCCAGCAUUCUUUUUUCAUUGGACAAAAAGUUCUUACAGACUAGUAUAAGCUCUCAAUAAACAUGUAACAGCAAAACAGCAACUAAACAGCUAUGCGGGCAAGGAGUAAUUAAGAAAGCAAGUUUCUCAAUAUUAAUUUACCUAAAAGAACUUAUGUAGAUGACUUUCGAGCCUCAACUUUUCCUUGUACAAAUAUGCUCCACAUUGAGUUACAAGAAAAAGUUAAUAUUGCAACUCCUUUGAAUCAGUAACGUUGCAAAGCAGCCAAGAGUUUUUUUAUCUAAUGAAACGGUGGGUAAAGGGAAAUUCUAGAGAAACUUUUUCACGGUCAUUUCUAAUUGGAACCCCAAUAGAAGUGGCUGAGCCAGUAACGUACCAUUACGGGGAUGGGGGAGGGGACUUGUGAAUAAGAGCAAAAGUCACAAUAAAAUUUUCUUGAAGGCAAAAGUUAAGAAAAUAGGGGUAGCAUAUGGUAUUAGACCAAAAAUUUUAGGCAGCAAGAAAAGGACCUCUUACAAAAUUUUCCAAAGCUGAGCAAGGAUUGAAAGAAAAUUUUGAAACUUAAGGGGGGGGCCAUUGCUCCAGAUUGCCCCUGGCUGCCUCCGCCACUACAGUGUUGUAACUAGACAUUGAAUAUCAAUCAAAAGGAAAAGACUAGAUUAAUUUAAGUCUGCUACUUUGUUUUGAGUGAAGAGAUGUUUCAAAUCUUAUGAUGUAAAAGAGGAAAAGGAAAGAGGAGAAUUUAGGAGUUGAAUUAAAGAUCUCACAAUUUUGUAAUUAGUGUACCUAUAAGCCAAGGUAGUUCUUGGAUUUAAGUCUAAAAUGACCCUAAAUAGAUACCCCAAAAAACAAAAAAGCAAAUAUAGGGGAAAAGUUAUUGAUGGACUCGUGCACUAUUUAUGUCCAACUAUCAGAAGAAAUUAUUGGAAUAAUCAAAGGAAAAGGUACUGUUCGACACAAAAUGUCUGAUCCAAGCGGUGGGUUUGUAACAGUGCUAAAACUUAAUUGGACGUCAUCAACACUAAGUUCGUGAACAAUAUGUGGAAAUAUCAGACGAGUUAAGGCCAACCCAAAAAGAAAAAUCGGGAUUUGACAAUGAAAAUAAUAUAAUCAGACACAGUUACAUGAAUACUAGGUUCGAAAACAAAGAGUUCAAAUAGUUAGGAAAAGAAAAAUGAGAUGAAACUGUCAUAACCAUCAUCAAACAGUACCCGAAGUUUGCUACACACAGUGUGAAGUUGAAAAAAUAAUUCCUAUAUGCCAAACUUUUGACAAAAACAAACGGUGCUUCUGUACUAUGGGCCUAAGGUCAAUACCAUACAAAAUCACUAAGCACUUUGUUUACCGUCAAGAGAACUGGAGAUUGAUAAGCUGCAAAUUAAAUAAUGAAAAGGGUAAAAUGAAGAGAGCUUUUCCUUAUUUCAUUAGCUAAUCAUAUGAGAAUAUCAACGAGUCCUUGAUUGAUUAAAAGAACCUACUCCAGGACACAUUAAUCUCAGAGUAAUUUAGACUCAAACAAAUUGGUCGAAGUGUGGAACCAGAUUAUAUACGGAUUCAUUGCCAAUUCACCGGGAGAAAAUAAUAGAGGUCGAUGAAGCGAAAUAGCGACCCCAAAAGAGAGAGAGAGAGAGAGGAAAACGAAAGAAGGGAGGGAUAUUAACUACAGCAAAUGUGAGAUUGUUAUUCACUUACAUCGAGAACUCUCAGAUUCAGAUAAGAGCUCAUCUAACAGAUCAGGUCCCAAGUCUUCAAACACCACCAGAUCAUCUCCCUUGACCAGCUGUUUCCUUUUGCCUCUACGUUUGGACAUACUUCUCAUCUUGUGUACCUCUUUCAGGGCAGCAGCUGGUGAUAAACCAUCUUCACAACUAAAAAGAACCAUUUCUUGAAGGGAUUCAUGGACCCUUUCAGCCGGAAAAUUAAGGGCAGCCACUGGACCUCGCAUCGAAAGUGCAGCUUGGUCAUAAGCCAAGGCAGCUUCUUCUGCAGUAUCAAAUGUUCCAAGCCAAACCCUGAUUCCAUUUCUUGUGGAAUCCCUUAUCUCAGCAGCAAACUUGCCCCAUGGCCGCUUUCGAACGCCUACGUAAUGCUUCUCCUUCCCAUAGUGAUCUUCUUUAGCCCUGGUACGGGCUAGGGUGAAUUCUUCACCGUUGAUUUCCUUAGACGAUGAACUUGCACCGGCAAAGGAUUUAGUAACAUGGUCCAUUUCUCCAGUAAAAAUCUAUGCUCAAGUCCUUUCAGUUGGAGAUUAGGAAUCAUGUGUCUGGAGAAUAUUUCAAGGAUUUCCAGAGAAAUUAAAGUUUUUAAGUAGUAGGGGUAAUCAAAAGGGGUAGCAUCAGUCGUUAGAUCUUGUUAGGGUAAUGGCUGUCAUGAUUCUCUAAAACUAACUUUGCCAUAGAUUCACUUUUCUCCUCAUGCCCAACUUGGGCUUGUUUAGAGAAAAUAAUGCACAAUUAGUACUACCAAGCAUUAAUUUUUGGUAUUGUUGUGAUGUCACUGCUGGACCAAGCUACUAAACUAUAAGAAAGGACAAUGUCUUCAGCCCCCCCCCCCACCCCCCCCCCCCCCAAGUUUUCUGACUUUUAUACAGGCAUUUCUUUAGUCCUCCCUCUAAAAUCUUCCAAUUAUUAUUGUUCUUGCCAUCCAUUUUCCUUUGCAUGAUUGAUUUGGUUGAGAUUUGAAAAAGGAUAAUGAUAAUCCCAAAAAAAUGCUCCUUUUCUGUGCCACUAAACGAAAGAUGUGUAGACUUCAUAGAACUAGAUUCCUUCUUCUUCUUCUUCUUUUUAAAUAUUUGAGUUAUUUUUCCCCAUCACUGGAAUUUGAGAACAAAAACCAGAUGCCUUAGCUUAUUUGUAUCAUUUUUCACGGAGAGAUGAUUAUAAAAGAGCAUACCGCCUCGACGGGAUUGUCCUAACUACUUGAGGCUUUUUCGUCCUUAAUAACGAUUACAGUAUUCUCAUGGUGGCACCAUUUUUUGUUGUGGUCAAUGGCCUUAAUAAAUUCCUUAAUUUUGCUGAUGUUUAGUAUUGAUAAUAAUUUUUUUUUUGUUUGAGCAUAGAAACAGUUCCAUUAAUAGCGUCAUUUGCAAUAAAAAUUCCGGCUAAAAUAGGAGAUUAUCUGUGAAUUUGAAUCCUGUAGCAAUUGCGACAAAGAUGCGUGUGUUAGCCUACUCAUGAUUAGACUAGCAAAUGUCACUUUCAACAACAUAAUUUUUACAUUCUUUGUUCAUAAAAUGCACGGAUUUAGUAUCAGUCUUUUGUCAAGAAACUUGUUGAUUUGUUGUUUAUGUGAGAAGCAACUAUUCAACAUACUAGUGGAGGGCAUCCCUUCAAUAGUUUGAAGAAUUGACCAAUUAUAAUUCUUAAAAGUAUAGAUGUAAUCAUUUUGUAUAACAGCCACAUCUCCAUUCUGCAUAAAAGUAUCAAUUACUUUCAUCCAACAAGAUGCCAAUGCUACUACAAAUACUACUACUGAAAAGUGGACCAGUAGUCAUUAACUGGUCCUAAAGCUAGUUUAAUAUCAAAGUAUUCUUUUUUUUUUUUUUUUUGUGAAGGGAUAACACAUCAAAGUAUACAACCAAAAUGUUUGGAAGGUUGGUUUUUUUGAUCUGGUUUCACACUGCCAAGAGCUGAAGUGAACUCCUUCUUGAAGGCAAACCAGUAUACUGACUAUUUCUUUUCUUCUUCAUGACAAAUUAUGGUACAGUACUUCUUUAGUAGCAUCCUUGUAUCAAGUGAAAUCUAUAGCACUCAAUUCAGCCUAAUACAGAACUUCAUCACCACAGUUGGCAAUGUAGUGAGGUAUUAUUCUAUUAGCUUUGGUCCUAGGAAAUUGACAAAUAAGACAAAUGAGAAUAAUAGGGUUCGUGAUAAUUCAAUAAUGACAAUAACUAGAAAAUACUAUAACAGAAAACAAAAUAGAGUACAAAAGAGAGAAUACAAAACCUAGGAAAUAAUUUCUAAGUCCAAAAGACACCUAAAAAUGAAAAUACAAAAAAAAUCUAAAUAGCACAAAAUGUUUAACGGUUCAAAGGCCCAUAACUUGCUCUUUUGAUUUGAUGCCUAGCUAAAACAUCUCUUAGACUAGAGCUAAAACAUCUCUUAGACUAGAGCAUAAGCCCCUUAAAAUUCUCUUGAACUACUACCCUUAGCAUAAUUAAACUCAUUUAAACUCACUAUAUUUAUAACUACCAAGAGGAAAUAUUUCUUUAUAAACUUUCGAUGUGGGAUACAAAGACAAACUCAAUAUAUUCUAAUAAGACUAAACAUCUAAGUAUAUCUGGAUCGGUAAUUGAAUCUUUUUUGUUUUCCCUGUUUCAGGGAAGAUAGUUCAACAAGUCUAAAUGCUGUUAUUAAUUGAAUGAAACCUAUUUUUUUUUUUAAAUACUUUAUAUGUGGAGGAGUGGAAAGGAAAACCCACUGGAAUCGAAAAAGUGUGAAAAUAUUUAGUUCUCGUUUUAUAAUGAGAAAUUAAGACUACAUGUGAAUUAUUUGGGGCAACCUUAAGACAAAGAUUUAGCAAUGGAGCCUGGACUGUAGUUUAGAUGCUUUUUAUAGCAUUUUCUGUAAUUUUUUUUCUUGUUUACUGUUGGACAGCUGAUUGGGCAUUGUGUUCCUUUGAACAUGAGUACUACACUCGUAAAAAUUGUCCUGCAUAGUGCAUAUCAAUAAAAUUAUGAUAUUUUUCCUUGAAAAGCCUUUGAUUCUUCCACUCAACGAAGAACUAAUUUGAUUAAGAUCCAAUAGACAACACUGAUAUGGAUUUUUCGCCUGGUCUUGACACUGAGGCACAAGUCCUUAAUUAAGUAGUGAAUUCUACAAUUGAAUUUUUAGAACACAAAAACUUGUAAUUGCAAGGCAAUGCCCCUUAAUGUCCUUUUUUUUAAUUUAAUAGAGAAAAUUGUACCAAUCAUCCUUCACAUAUUACUGAUAUGAAAUUUUAGUCUUUCAAAAUUCAAAUAAGCGAUCUUAAUUAUGCACAAAUAAAAAACACUCACUUUUAAUCCCUUGCCACCUUUUCGGCCAAAUUUUUGCCAAAAUAUGUCACGAAUCAAUCACAUGAUCAAUUUUUGAAAGUUAAAUUUGGUAACUCAUUUAACAUUGAACCAAUUUCUCACUUAAUCUUCCAUUUCUCCUAAUUAUUCUCUACCUAAACCCAAAUCGACAUCACUCAUUUUUUCUCUUACACCACCAUCCUUCCACACCAUUUCCAGUUUCAUCACUGUUGCCACUGCCAUUUGUCCCCUUCUCACUCCUUUCUCGCCACCUCUGCCCUUUCUCCCUCAUUCCUCCUUUUCUUUCCCCAUCUUAUGGGUCUUGUAAAUAGAUCUAUUUCUUUCGCCCUCUAAUUUUUAAAAGCCAUGGAAAUGGUUUUGUUAAGUUUCAAACAUUUGCUGUUACUUUGUUGAUUCUUGUGGUCAUAUGGGUGAUUUUGGGGGUUUUACUGGUAUUGUAUAUUUCUUGUUGGUCAUUUUUGUCAAAUCGAGUAGAGAGUAAAAACUUGAGAGAAUUUUGUGAGUACGAGAUGGCGAUAUACAGUGGUUCUAUUGUAGAUGUUGCCGGAAUCUAGCAUGGUAGCUCUUGUGAGCUUUGCAAGAAAAUAGAAGGAAGAAGAUGAUAAAAAAAAAAAGCAAAAAGAAAAGAAACGAAAGAAAGUAAAGAAUGAAGUUUUACUGGGAUUGUGUCAUUUUAGUUAGUUUGGCACUUGGAGAAUAAUUGGGAGAAAUAGUGGAUGAGGUAAGAAAUAGAUCAACAUUAAAUGAGUUGCUAAAUUUGCCCCUAAAAAAUUAUUCAUGUAAUGGGUUGGUGAUAUAUUCUGACCAAAUUUUAACCAAAAAGGUGACAAAUGAAAAAAAAAAGAGCACUUUUUAUCUGUUAGAAAUUAAAAUCUUUCAUUUUAAUUCUAAGGGACUAAAACUUUACAUCAGUAGUAAUAUGUGAAAGACAAUUAGUGUAAGUUUUCUAUUAUACAAACCCCAAUAUUUACAGUCCAAAGCUACGCAUGGAAAACAUCAUAAUACUGUAGCAUACAUUUUUUACCUAAAAGAAGGCGACUUUGUCUUUCUCUGCUAUUAAGGGCAUGCAAAAUUUGGGAACCCCCCCCCCCCCUCCACACCUGCUGCGUUUAUUUCCAAUCACAGAAAUGAAUAAUUUGUCAGAAACACUGAAAGAGUGUCCCUAGGUAAACUGUUUACACCUUCUUGACACUUUCAAACAUAUAUUGGCGCAAUUUUCUUAUGCAUCGAAAAGGUUAAUGAGUUAGUUAGUUAUUCCUGCAUUGUCUUCCCAGUCAGAUUAUCAAUUUCAUAAUAUUAGAUUUAAGCAUUCGAGGAUACAUCAUGCAUUUUUACAAUCUUAAUUUUGAAUGAUGUUGCAAGGGAUAAGAGUCUCUACAUCACUUUCCAUUUUCCUUUUUUUUUUUUUUUUGGUGGUUAAAUACUUUUGAUUUGAUUCAACCAGCAAAGGCUCGCACCGAUCCUGAGUUAUCAAUUCUUGUAGCUAUGAGCUAUGAGUUAUCUUAUCCCCUCAGGGGGAAAGGCGCAGCUCGGGAGGUAACGUUCCAUUCCUUUCCUCACGUACUGCUCUCUGAGAAGGGAGUGGCUGGCUCUUGAAUCUCAUUCUUCAUCUUCUUUUUGCUAGGAAAUUGGAAAUUUCCGUUUGUGUAAUUUGUUUUCUUUAUGAAUGGAAACUAUCACAUCAAAAAAGAUUACUGGGGUAGCAAAAUAUAUCUGUGCAUCACGAUGAUAUAGUAUAAUAUUUAAGCUGUUACUUCAUGCUCGGGUAAUCUUGGGCUUGACUUCUAGAGUUUGUCUUUUUCCGUCGGCGGAUUCCUUCGAGGUGAUGACAAUUUUAGAAAUAUAAGAUUCAACAACAAGGACUAAUAUAUAUAUAUAUGCAUGCAAAUGAACUUGAACUAUUGCCCCGUUAUCUUCUUCUUCUGCUAAUUAUAUUUUUGUGUUUGGAUUGCAAAUUUAUCUCAAAUAAUAUUUCGCUCGCAUCAUAAACACAUUUUUCAAUCUACCUUUUUAUAUUUUCAACUACUUUUUAUUUCGCAUACAUCAUAUCACAAAAAGUGCUGCAGUAAUUAUUCCAAAUAAUAUUUUAAAUAAUACUCUAUCCAAACAUUACUUUAUCUUCUGGGGGCUUGUGUGAUAACUACUGUGGCUUUUAUGGCUUUCUCUUAUCUCUGGGAUUACCGAGUAAUUCUACUUUGAACCCAAAAUUGUUCCGCUUUGGACUUUACGUGGAAAGUUUGAUCCGUCAAUUUUAUACUAGCAAUUGUUAAUUUCAUCUUUUGUUUGCUUUGAUUUGGAUCAAAAGCUGCAAAAGAUUUUUAAAAACUAGCAAUACUAUAGCUCAAUCCAAUAAAUAUUUUGCGAAUUCUGUGGAACAAUUUUUAACGUUAAAAUUAAAAAUUAUUUCGAUGAUUUUACACAAGGAACAGACAGGGCACUACAUGGCAAUCAAUAACGAAGUUAGGAAGCCAAGUAUAUCUUGGAGAGACAAGUUUCCAAACAACUUAAAUUUGAAGAUGCUAUUAUUGACAGCCAAAAUGGUUUAAGUAGUUGAGGUGCAAAAUUAGAUGAGCCCUUGCUACCUUAUCCAAUUUUAAUUUUAAUAUUUGAUUUUUGAUGAUUUUGUACAAAAACAGAUAGUACACCGGAAGACAAUUUGAGAAUUAAUUAGCCAUUUUCUGACUGCAAGAAUCUAUGGAUAGAAAUUUUCAUAUAUAUAUAUAUAUAUAUAUAUAUAUAUAUUCAGUCAUCACAUGUUGGCUUUCUCUUGACAAGACUGUUUUCUUUUAGUACAAUGCAGGAGCGGUCGAAAUUCUCUGCAGCUUCCUUUUCAAGGGGAUACUUCAAUUGGACUCCAACUGGAGGCUUUGGCCUGAAAAUAUUCUUAGGAAAAAGUUGAAUCCUCUUCUCCAACUGAAAAGAGAAUAUCCAUUAUAAACGACUUGGACCAAAUUCUGAUGUGUAUAUUAGUAUUUGUGUUAGUGAUUUAAAGAAAGGGAUAAUUUCGAAAACCUCCCCUGUGAUUUCUAAUAAUUGCAGAGACUUCCCCUCAAAUUUAUUAAAUUACACCUAUCUCCCUUGCUUUUACCGUUUAUACAACAAUAUAGGCCUAAAAGACUAUUUUUUUUCAAAAAGCCUAAACUAUCCUUUUUUACAAAAAUAAAAUAAAAAUUAUUUUGCCAAUUGCUUUCUUCCAUUUGUCAACCAAACCCACGAUACUAACAAACAGGUCUAACAAAUACUAUAAUUCCAAAUUCUAAACCCAAUCAAUUCCAUCAUGCAUUCAAUUCCGAAGGUUCGUUCCACUUCCUUAUACUAUAUAAGAAUGAGUUUGGGUCAAAGAAUGACUUUGAAUUUCAACCGCAAGAGUAGGGGUAUUUUGAGAUUGUGAGGUUGUUUUGAGUGUAGUUAUAAUAUUGGGUACUACUUUAGAUAGCAUGUGCAUUAUUGUAUUUACUGAAAUGUUCUUGUAUUGUAAAAGAUGCAGUGAUGAUUUGUUCAAAUAUUUGAAUAGUUUGGAAAUGUGAGAUUAUUUGAUCAUCUUUUUUAUAAUGGAUACAACCCAUAAUAGCUUCUUUGUUGGUGUAAUUACUUAAAUGUCCUUGUAGAGACAUUCAUUUUGGUUUGUAUCAAUUAUUAUUAUUACUUUGCUAUUAUAACUUGAAGAACUUCAAACGUCAUUUUCAUCUCAAUUAAAGCAAGGACAAUGUGGUUUAUUAAGGAAUUUAUGAUUGAACAUUUGUUUCAACUUCUAUUCUUCAAAUGUCUGCCCCUUCACAUUCAUCCGUUAUGCUCCUUUCGUCUACCGGUAAAUACUUAUUUUUAUUGCCAUUGUACUCUGGAUUUCAAUAUGGUUCCCUAGUGAAGUUAUUCUUGAUGGUCGAACUUGAGGUGAGGUUUCAUUCCUUUUUUUAAUGCUAUGAUUUGCUUUGUAAAAUCGCAAUUUCUAUUGUUAGCUAAAUGCUUUCAUUCCAAAAUUGGAUACUCUGUUAGCACAAUUUAAUGUUGAUAUUAUUAUUUCCCCACAAAAUUGAUUGUUCUAUAUAAUUUAAAUGGUGUGGUUUUGUUGGAAUAGGUUUCGAUCAACAAGAAUGUUGGCUACUAUGAUAAAAAAGCCUUCACCAUAGUUGGCUACUUUCAUCAACAAGAAUGUUGUGUAGAUGCAUCUUUAAGUGGAUAAUCAUUUUGUUUAUUGCCAUUAUCUGAAUCGUUUGGGUAUCUGUUUAAAGUUCGUUUAGUCUUGUUAAUAAAAAGCUCAUAUACAAGUAUUUGUUUCAAAAUAUAUGAACUGAGUAAGAUAGCAUCCAUGAUUUCCUUCUCUAUCUCCCAGUAUACAGUAGAUAUUUUAUUACUUCAUUGUGUUAUACAAUGUGCGUGAGUUUUUUAAUAUUCACUUGAACUACCAUAAAAUCUUUUUUAACCACAGGCACCAAACACCCGCGCAAUGCGAGGGCAUUCCCCUCCUAGUUUUAGAAAUAUGCUUAUCAUAUGGUUCCAUGGAAUGGUUAAACUCACAAUCAACUGCCUUAUGGUUAGGCUUGCAUAAUCUUUAAGAUAGGAUGCUAUGGUUUGAUUCCAUAUAAAUGGCUCAACUCCUACUACAUGAGCCAUAUUAUGGCCUUGAAGAAAAUCUUUAGGGGAGAUUUAGACAUGGAUGGGAUUAAUUAAGUUUAAGAGAAGGAAAGAUAUCAUUAUGACUAUAGAGAUUUUCAAGAAAUUCAUUUUGUUAAAAACCAAAAUUCUAUUUGCAACUAAUCACACCCCAAAUUUCAAACCCAAUGCCCACACCUUCUCAAAAUAAAAUAAUUUAGCCUACCAUUAAAUCUUCAAACAUGUUAACGUCUUAAACACAGAGAAGAAACUUUAUCUCUAUAGCAACCAUAACAAAAAAUUGUCAAGUAUAAAAAGAAAUAUUAAUGUACUUAUUAACAUCUUAAAAAGUUUUUUGGAUGGAUGAUAGACAAAUUAGCAAAUUUACCAAUUUCAAUCCCUCUUCCUCUUUUGGCCAAUGAUUGCAUUAUUAUUUAGUACCUCUUCAUCUCCUUUUAGUUUGACUAUAAAAUCAGAUUUUACUUCAACCAUUAAAUCUAAUCACUUAACUAGAGAGGUCAGUAUAAUUUAUAAAACUUAAAAGAAGCGGAGUGAAAUUGUCAUAAAACUCAGGUGAGGUUUGUGAAAUUAUCCCUUAAAGAAAACAAGGCAACCAGACUUUUGGAUAAGAACUUAUGUUGGAAGAUAAUCAUGAAUGAAAGCUAGAGUUUUUCUAUCAUUCAGUAAAUGCGGCAGAUUUCAGACCGAGAGAAAAGAAAACCACCUAUUUUCCAAAUUAGGUCAGGAUUCAAGAGCAUUAAACUAUAUAUAUAUGGUAGAUAAAUUAAUGAUAUGAAUGUUUUUUUUUUUUUUUCAUUUGCAGCUGGCGUGUGCAUGGUGACGUUGGCCUUACAAUAAAAAUUCUUUUCAACCUUGUAUUAAGCAAGUAAUAUAAUGUGCCUAUCCAAAUAUUUGGCCCUCAGUCGAGAUUAAUUUUCUAAUGAGAUUGUCAUUUUUUUUGGAACAUUAUGACGCUGAACUUUGUCAUUUUCCGUCGGCGGAUUCCGCACGAGGUCACCUCCGCGUCGAAUAAGGAAUAAAAGCUUAAAAACUUUAGCACAAAAACCAUAGAAAAUCGACGUAUCGGACCCAGUACCUCUUCUUUAUUACCAUGAAUGCUUGGUCCGAGUCAUGACCUGGUGGUAUUGGCAGUAUCCUUUUGGGCGCCCCUAAACCAAAUUAUUGUAAAGCAAAUCCCAGAGUCGGGGCCAGGGUCAAGGCUCAAAAUUCACAGCUCCUGCAACGGGCAACGGUGCAGACCAGCUUCGGUUCUUCCCCUAUCACACGACAAUCAAGGCAAAGGUAUGCAAAGUACACAGAUUAAUUUGUGAUAAUGACCUAUUGAUUUUUAUUGCACCAAUGAUCAAUAUCACAAUUGUAAGGAGUGGCAAAAUGAUCAUGACAAUCAAGAGGAGCAAGAUGCGAUGCUUGCAAUAUGAGACAACAUUUCAUAUUCGAUCUUGAUGGCUUGCAUAUGCACAUAUCAUUUUUCUCCUGUCCUAAUUUUGCAUGUAUUGUUGUUUAGCUUCAAUUUGGGAUAUGCCUUAUCUACAUUGUUCUUUUUUUUACCAAAUUGCGCAAGUUAUAUCUCUCGCGAAGACAUGACAUAAACAUUAUGGUGGAGAAGUUCAACUUGACAGUUUGAAUAUUAAAGAUUGAAUCUUAUAGAAUUCAAAAUCUGGAUGAUCAAAUUUAUUAAAGUUGAAACGUCAGAAACGCCAAUAUAUAUAUAGAACAUGUCAAACAAAACAUCAGCCUGUAACUUCCCUAGGUAAAUCUAGAGCUCGGUGUUCUGUAGUGAUUGUGCUAAUUUGAGCUCGUAGAUAUCAAUAUAGUAACUGGAAAAAAUGUAGCUUAGAAGUAGCUAGAAGUAAACGACAGCAUAUGAAACAUAAAGAACUCCAUUAGUUCUCAAUGUUCUGAUGCUUCUUGGCCGUGUAGCCAGCCAUCCAUCUCCAUCUCCAUCUCCCUCUAUCCUAAGCUGGGUAGGGAUUGUUGGGGAGCAAGGAGGCAGUGGUUGGCAGAAUAUAGGAAGGAAACUCUAUAUCUUUUUUUGACUCAUAAUAGAGUAAUUUACUAAUAAUAUGGUGUCAAUUGGGCUUCGCCACCGAGAACCGGACCAGUUCAGCCCAAGUUAACCUUUACAUCUUUGCACCUAAGAUCAGCCCACCAUUCACAAGGCAGUACUCUUUUUUUUUUUCUUUAAUAAAAGCAAAUUUCAUUAACAGAUCCCUGAAAUUCAUCCAGUUUGAUUUGAUUUACAUUACUAUUCUGAUGAUAGGUUAAACAUGCAUUAGACAUUACAGAUUUGUAAUUUAACAGAUGGAUCUGACAAAAUACAAUAGUUCCUUAAUCCUUACUUUGUGAGACUAGUAGGGACAGAAUCCUCCUCCAUCUUUCUUGGCUCUGUACUUAAUUCCCAGCUUGUACCAUUAAACAUGAAGCAUGUUCUUGGCUAAAAAAUACACCGCGUUUUAGGUUGAAUUCAAGCUUGCACAAGUUCAUAUAAGGAGCUCAAACUUAUUCUCUCCUAAAACCACUAAAUCACCAAGGAAGCUCUCACAAAGCAACAAGGUAAAGAAAUGUUUAAACGAAUUUAUGCUUUAAAGAAAUGUUUGGAACUUUUAAACGAAUUUAUGCUUUAAAGAAAUGUUUACAAACGUACGUAGCUUCUUAGGAUUGCGUAGAAAGCCACAAAGCCGUUGUAGUCUGCGGUAUAAAUUUUAGUUUGAGAUGAAGUUGGUUGGGAGCACCGGACGUGAUGCAUUGCAAAAUAGAAGACUCACAAGAGGUGUCAUUUUCAAUCUAAAACAAGUACACAACAUUAAUUCACUGGAUGCCCCCAUUUGUCAGAACACAUACCACCACUUUUGCUUCUUGUCUUCUCUGCCCAAAAUUCCUCAGGCUAUUACUUCCAAAAGUUAACAGGUGCAAAUGUCAAUGGUGAUGAAUUAUUGAAGCAACAUAGAUAGAGAGAUUGAAUUCAUUCUUACAUGGAUGAUGAGCGAGAGAUGUACACUACUUGAAAUUACGUGUUAAAAUAUUUUGAGUUUUUAUCGCAAAACUAAUUAAUUGUGAGUGGAGCGCUUCAUGAUUUUUAUUAAUUGAUUCAGUUAGUCUUGACUAACAGAUAUGGUAUUAGUUCUUUUUUUUAAAAAAAAAAAAAAUUUAUUUUGACGCUGCGAAUUAAUGUAAGAGAAGAAAAGAAAGUAAUUUAUAAAGAGCAGUAGGAUGGAAUUACAUUUUAUAGCAACAACUAUACGCAAACACGGGAUUUGUGGACAUAAUCACAUACAAUUAGGCAAACCAAAAUAAGCAAACUCCCUAAGUUGUUGUUGUACUUUCAGAUGAUGAACUUAAUAGCUCCUCCAGCAGAUCAGCUCCUAAGUCUUCAAGCUCCAGAACAAUUUUUUUUGGGUUUAUUUCUUUCUUUUGAUUUCUUCUGCGUUUUGACAGACUUCUAAUCUUGUGUGUUUCCUUGAGAACAGCAGCUGGUGAGCAACCAUUCUCCCAAUUGUGCUUAAUCCCUUCAAGUGAUUCUUGGACUCGAUCAGCUGGAAAGUUGAGCGACGCCAUGGGACCCCGCAGUGAAAAUGCUGCUUGGUCAUAGGCAAAAGCAGCUUCCUCCGGGCUGUCAAAUGUUCCAAGCCAAACUCUCAAUCCAUGCCUUGUUGAAUCCCUGAUUUCUGCUGCAUAUUUUCCCCAUGGACGCUUCCGGACUCCUAUGUAACUCUUUUCUUUCUUGUUAGAUUUCUUUUUCAAGCUUGAGGUGACCUCUUCUUCAUGACUAACUCCUUUGCAAGAACCUGUUUUGAUUGACUCUGUGGCUUUGGAUUCCCCACUCUCAUGUUCGGUUUUCGAAGUUGUACUAUCGUCAAGAAAAACGUUCUCAUCCCACCAGAAUGAAGACUCAAAUGGGAAGAAUUCAGAGGAAGCAGAACCCAUAUCUAGAUUGAAUAGGUUGAAGCUCUGCAUCAUAGCCAUGUUUAUACCUACUUUUGGAAUCAAGCGAAGCACAGCGUUUAUAUAUAGUAGGAAUUCAACUAGAAAGAUAAGGCUGAUGGAUUAUUUGACUUCUUUCUUGGCGCAAUAAUGGUUUCCUAGAAGAGAAGGACCAUGAAUCUGGGGUUGGAUCGAGUCAAGGGUACUUGCUAGAAAGUUUUGACGAAGAAGAUUUCAUCGCAAUUAAGACACAAUAAAUCUACAGAAGUUUUAAAUUUGAUGCAGGUGAAGUUGCGGGGCCAUGGUCCCUCCAUCUACCUCAACUCUAUGCCCUAAAUCCAAAGAACAUGGACAGUAAACGUUAGCCUGUGGGGUUGUUGACGUACAUCGAAAGAACAUGGACAUUAGCCACUUGGUUCUUUUUUUGUUUUUGUUUUAUAGCAUGCCACCAAUCAUAGGAGCAUAAUAACUCGUAAACCAUGGAAUAAACACCCAUAUAACAAUAAUGAGACUGAUAAUCCCUCUCUCCCUCUCUCUUUAGGGUAAUUAAGGUUAGUUAUUGAUAAUAAAAGAAAACAUCCAAGACUUUGUUGAGAACUAACCCCAGUAUGCACAUAUCUCUUCUCAAUAAAAUCUCGCAUGGUUACAAGUACAAAAGCAGUUCAAACUGUUUUAGAAAUCCUACGACUCUCGUGGGUACCAACUGAUUUUGUAGUCCGGUAAUUAUCAGCAGGUCCCGUGAUCGAUUUUCAUGUGCUAUUUUAUUGUGUAUCUUGGAGCAGAACUCUACACAUUCUCAGGGAAUUAGUCUAGUCAAAAAAUUAGGAUAUCUCUAAGUAAAAAAAAAAAAAAAAGAAGAAAUCCUACGGUAAUGAAAUUGAGUAUAUCCAUUAGUGAAAGAUUUUAUAGAAUGAAAGUAUAUUUUUUUAUUAAAGAAAAUCAAACAACCGUUGGCACAGGGCUCAAAUUAAAUUGAGAUCAUGAUCCAACAUGGAAUUGAGGGAAGCUUGAAUUCAAUCAAUCAGCUCAAAAUCCUCAAGUUUCAACAUCGCAUUGAUUGAUUGAUGGUCAUCAGCUAGCCAAGUGACGCAUCAUAAUCGUACGGCUUUGACGUCAGCCUCGACCAAGUGGCUGGUUUGAUUGCCUAACGGAGCAUUUAUGAGGCCGCCACAUUUUUGGCUUUUUGCUAUGGAAAAAUGGGUCAAUCCGAACUCGACCCAUUUGGUCCAAAAUAAAAAAGUUUGUUCAGUCUAAUCUUUAAUUGAAUCGGGUGCAGUUUGGAUGUAAAUAUUAAAUUCAAAUUAAAUAUAUGCUGAGUUUGGGCCUCUUUAAAUUCAGUUCAAACCUAACUAAAGCCUAACCCGUGUAUAAGUAUAAUUAUAUAUAUAUAAUAUUCAUAAUUUAUAAUUAUACAUAUAAUAACAUAAAAUAUUAAUAAUUUAUAUAUAAAUUUAUAGUAAUUCAUGAUUAUUAAAUAGAUUAAAUUUUAUAUGUACUGAUAAUGUAUGCAUUAUCACGAUUAGAUCCAGACACAUAUGCAGAAGUUAGAUUUUAAAUUUAAAAUUUACAUAAUUGUUAUUCAUCCAAAUUUGAUAAUGUAUGCACUAUCAAUGUAAGAAAGAUUAAUCAUAUUAAAUAUACAUUAUAUAUAAUUAUGUAUUAAUUUUGAGCUUGAGCUUAAAUCGAUUUGUACUCGAAACUUAUAUAAAAGUAUGAGUUAAGUUUGAGUUUUCUAAUUUGGGCCCAAGUUCAAAAACUUGAAACUCCAAAGUCCUAUCAAUUCAUGAGUCGAGUUUGACCUUGUUAAAACCCUACUAACAAAACUCGAUCCACAGCCCUAGUGACAAAUGCAUUUACAGAAAGAAACGUGCGGAGUAAAGGCCAUUUAAUUUAUUUUUAGAUUAAUUUCAAGGUGGUUAUUGGAAGUAAAGAGAGGGCAGGUGAAAUAAAACUCUCUUAUAUUAUUGAAGGCAAAAAAGGUCAAGAUUGAGCUACGAUUUUUUUUUUGUCUACACAGGGGUGUCUGGGUCAAUCCUUACGGGGCUUGACUAAUCCCCUGCGGUCCGGGAGAGGAGGCCCCACUCCACUUCGAGUACAUUAACAACGGGGACUCGAACCCUGGACAAGCCAGAAAGGUCGCCAUACCCUAAGGAGGGGGAGCGGACCGUUCGACCUAUCCCGUGGGGGCAGAAGACCAGCCACGUAAAGUGGCAAGUUUGUGGGAGGCAGGGAUUGAACCCCUGACCUCCAGCAUCACCAAAGAUGGUGAUGGCCACUGGACCAAAUGGCCAGUGGCUAGUCAAGAUUGAGCUACAUGUCUCUACUAAUUAAGAAUACAAUCUUUCUUCUCAGGAUAACGCUACACCACAAAUUUUUAUGUCACAACUUUCUUUAAAGAAGGGGGGGGAGGGGGGGAGGGGAGGAGGAGGAGGAGAAAGAAACCAUGCUCAUGCAUCUCAAGUUAAGAACUUAAAAUUGCAUUCGGAAUUGAUAAGGGGUGAUCGUGUUAUUCCGGAACGUAACAACUUUUAACUGUCUGUGACUAUAUCAUUGGUUGUAGUUCACUAACUCGGCCUUGGAAAAAUUGAAAACAUAAAAAGAUAAAUUUAGGCCAGCUUUGCUGGAAGAAAUGCUAUAACUAUCCCGCAUGCAAAUUGGCAAAGGACCAAGUUUCUGUAGCUAGGAAGAUAUUUUUAUUUGGUUACGCUACAGCCUCGUAGGCUAUAGCAAGAAAUUCCAAAGGGACCAUUGGCUGAUGAGGAUUGAUAAACACAGAACAAAUAGAAAGUUUGGUAUCAAUGACUAAGACAUUGUAAAAAUCGCUGUUACUUUUUAUCCAUCGAUAUCAAUAUCAAUGCCAAGUUGCUUGUAUCAUUGAGUAACAUUUUGCUGCAGCUAGUAGUUGAUUCAGCAUGUCUUUAGUAGCAAUUUUUUUUUUUUUAAACUUCUUGAUUUAUCUAGUAUGAAUUCGAUCGGCCUUUAAUUAAUUUCACUUGACAUAGCGAUCGUUGCUAAUUUCAGGAUUUUAUCCUUUACAGUUUCUUAAGCAAAGAAAAUAUAAAUAUAAAUAUAAAUGAAGCAAGUAAUAAAUUUUAUCUUCGAGUAUGACUGAUUCGAAGGAGAGAUUAAACUAAGACAAAACGGAGCCAGAAAUAUAAACUCCUAGACAAAAAAAAAAAAAAAAACUGAAAUAUGGGACGUGAAGACACAGACUGCGAUGUUUUGCAUGCGGUUUGACCCUACAUGCCUUCUUUGUCUCUUCCGUCGGCGGAAGGUCCGGGCGACACCUUCUUCCUUUAUCCAUUUUUUCUUCUAGUGAAACCGAUAGCAUUAAAUACCAAAAGAAGCAGAAAAUCUGCCGGUGUUAAGGUUUUUCUUGUAAAACAAAAGCGAAGUUUGUAUGUUGUCUAGGGUUUCCUCUAAUAUUUAAUUCAUUUAGGGGAUAACUUUCAAGAGAAAAGUAUGUAUUCUGUUUUUGUUCGUUCGUAGGAAAAGAAGCGACCAGUUUCCUUUUUCUCGGAAAGAUUUUUUUUGGGGUAAUGGUUAAAAAUAAUUAAGGGAGAUUCUAAAGCCCCUUUUGGGUAGUGAUCAGAAGAGGAAUUCUUUUGACGUAUUUGGUGUUUUAUUCUCUUGUAAAUCUUCUUGUUCCUAUAAAUUAAUGAAGUGAGUUUCUUUGCUCAAAAAAAAAAAAAUUUGUCCCUUUUGGGUAUUGUAUUUUCAACUUAAAUUUGUCGUUCAAUAGUAAAAAAAAAAAAGUAUUCUUGACCCUUAAAUUGUAACAAGUUUAAAAAUUUAAGCUAAUAUCAUCGUUGAGAAAUGCAUAUUACGAGAAUGAUACUAAAAGAAACCAUAGAGUUUUCUAACAAUUUUGUGUCACCAUAACAUAAUAGUUUGUGGUUUUCUUUCUUUUUUUUUUAUUGCAAAUAGAAAUUAGUUAUUCUUUGUUUUUAAUCGAGUGGUGCUGAAAAUUGACGUUGACUGUCCUGCAUAAAUUGACUAAUGCCAAUAAAUUUUAUUGUAUGUUGUCGCAGGGCGACCGGAAAGUUUGAAACUUGAAAGUCAAAUAUUGUUCAUCAUUACCAGUCGUGGUGGUUAGGUGGCAACUCCACAGCCACCCUGAAAGACCAAUUGGCCGGGGCCGACGGCGGCGGAAGUGUGCGUCCCACCACCCAAAAAAAAAAAAAGAAAAAGAAACCAGUCUUCUUGUUUCCAAGCUCAGGCGGUCAAAGUCCUAAACUGAUAGUUGUCGAAUUCGUUCUCGAACAUCUAUCUAAUAUAAUGCAAAUGGAUGUUUCUCAAUUAGUUCAAUCCCAGCCCCAGUCCAAAGCAUAAACUAAUUCCAAAUCUACACUUUUAAUCAUUCUCACUUACCAAUAAUCACAUUUCUUUUGCAUGUAUGAAUUAGCAAUCAUAAAUCUUUCGACUUUCCUAGCAUAAUAAAGGAUUAAUUCUUCUUACAACAACACUUUAUGCUCUAGUCCAUUUGAAUGCAUAACAAACAAUCUCAUCUUCAAUUUGAAUUUCAUGCAUUUGGACUUGCUAAUUAAUGUAAACGCCUAUCAUAAUGUGAAAGAUUAACUCUAUAGUAAAAUCUUCCUUUUAUGCCUUCGUUGACAUCUUAGACCAAUCUUCCACCGUUCAGAUUUUCCAUGGUCCUAUUUGCUUAAAAUCAUUGAUUUGUCUUCUCAACAAUUGUAAGGUAACUUGCAUACAUAAACACAAAUUUUACGAUUUCGCUAAUGGGUGUUCAAUGAACACUUGUUAAGAGAACCAUCAAGUAUUAGUUUUUUUUCGAUAAAAGCAUUGUUAAUUUGUGAAAUAAAUAUGAGUACGUGCAUUUAUAUGAUAAAUUUAAUAUAAAUUAGAUGUACUACAGGUAGGUUGGGUGUCCAGUGAAAAAUCUCAAAUUCAAGACACAAAACUGACUUAUCUCCUCUACAAUUUUAAGGAAGGUUACUAUGUAUGCAUAUUAAUUCAGUACACAAAACCGUUCAAGCUGAUAAAAUCUGGGGAGUUCUGUAGUACGUUUUGGGUGCUACACUAGUAAAUAUUAAUUCACCUGUACAUGUGUAAACAGAGACAUCAAUCUUUAGAUGAAUUUAGGAGUUUAAAUUAUUGAUCAAUAAUAUGAUAAAAUUUUAUUAGAUUACAAUCACGUGGAACUGUCUAACAAUCUAAUUAACUAUACUUCUCUACCAAGUAAUAUAACAGAUUGAAAGUGAAAACAAGAAAAUACCUACGGCUAACAAAAAAAAAAAAAAACUACAGCUAACGAAAUUUUGUCCAUUAUGGAUGCAAGUUCCACUAAAUAACCUUUUCCAAAAGUGCAAAACUUUUGAUCAAUUUAAAUUUUAGGGAAGCAUCCUUCAUGGAUGUUAGCAGCCCAUGAGCAUAAAAACUGAGAAAAUGAAUGCACCUAAGUACUAAGCCGCCCCAUAUUUGUAUCUAUUCCACCUCGACUACCACAUUCAAUGGAGCUUUUGACCCAACUCCUGCCAGUAGCUUUAACUUUUCCAGUAGGAUACUACAAAUUGAGAUGAAAGUUAGGCAAUGUAAUUGAAAGGUGUAACAUUACUAUGAAGGCUAAUAAAGAUCAAAUCCUAAAGUUAUGCAUGAAACAUGCAAUUAUUGACCAUCUCCUUCUUACUCAAAAAGAUCCAGGGUAGAAGAGAAAAUGCCGAUCCUCUGCAAAAUUCUAUAUGCUAAAGCUUUAAAUGAAGGCAAUGUACUAGGCACAUCUCAGGUAAAAACUUGAAACUCUUUUCAGUUUUUCUGCAGCAAAAUCAGGUAAUCUCAGAAGUAACACCAUGAUUUGCAUUAGUCUAUCUCAGUUAUUUAAACUUAUUUUCUGUCAGUGGUAGUUUUUAUUAUGUACUACGAUCGAAAAAACAAAAGGGUAAUCUGAGAUGGAAGGAAACAUGUUCCACAUAAGAUUUCGCCAGUCUCUUCAAGAUGGAGUUCAAGUAUUCCAAUUCUCCUAGCUUGUACAUAAGCAGGUAAACAGAAGGGUACUGUGCACAUACAAGUAUUAUCUUGAGCAUUUAAUUGGGCUAUUCCUGGCUAAUCGAGUUCUCUCUAACUAGAACUUGUUAUAAGAAAUUUACAUUUGGUUUUCUUUAUUUUCUUUCACACUGUCACUCCUGUAAAUAGUUAUGUUAAACAGCAAAAGGGUGGCGACAAAGAAUAGUUUUGUGUGAUGUAUAAGGAUUAGACACUUGCAAUCAAGAGAUACACUAUAUUACCAACUAAAGAACUAGCUGAAACACAAGUGAAGUUGUUGACCUCAAGAUUGAGUAACAUUAGAAAAUAAAAGGCUAGACACUCGCAAUCAAGACAUACAGUAUAUUACCAACCAAAGUACUAGCUGAAUCACAAAUGGAAACGUUAUUCUUGAAAAUAAUUAACAAUAGAAAGUAAAAGACAAGAAAUUAUGAUAUCAGAUUGGCGUUAAAAAGCUGCUUCGAAUAAUAUUAAUGAACUGAGGGAGAAUGGAUAUGUCAUAGAAGAUGAUCUUCGAAAUAGAAAAGGUUGAUCAAAUAAUAACAAGUUCAAAAUAGAAAUAAUAAGAUAACUUUUAAUGGUUGAGAGAAAAUAUACGACUACCACUGGUAGGAUCUUCCAUCCCCCAAAGGAAUACUAUAAUAUGGAUACUAAGACUAACUAGUGAAGGAUUUUUUUUUCAAGAUAACAAGGUAAAUGGGGAACAGUUUUUCUGAUAUCAGUAGGGAACAUGACAAACACAAGCUAAGCUAAGUAUCAGGUUCCAAACACCAUGGACUCCAAAAAGGAUGAAGUACUGAAAGAUAUAAAUGUAACCAGCCUGCUUUCCAGUGCAAGAUGCAGGCAAGUGGUAAUAGAGUAGGUCAUUGAAGAUUUAACUCUCAAUGUCAAUCAUUAGCAGAGUUUCCUCCCCAGUUUUACAGUUGAAUUGUGUGUCUUUAUUUUAAGUGCUUGUACAUUUGAGACCAUUGGUGACUUCCAUACCAAAUGCACAAAAUUACUUUUUAUGGUUUAAAUCUGUUUUUUUUCAUGCUUGAUUUUGGAAUUUCCCGCUGAAGUCAUCGCAAAUAAACUAGGAAAUCACAAGCAUGGCUUGGUCAAUAGUAUCCUCUUCUUUGACACCAUUCAAUGAGUUUCCUUUUUCCCUCUAAAUCGUUAUGACAACCUACCCAAGGCCUAAAUCGAAUAUCAAUAGCGAUACUAGACAACACUUUCUCCAAAGGGUAGUGAUUCUAGGUCCAGGACAUAUCGAUGAUGUUAUGGAGGAAGAUACUAGACUAGCACAUUGAUACAUGCUAUCAUCUCUAGAUGUCCAAGCUUAUUAGUUGAAGUUCGUUAUAAUCUUACAGAAAAUGAAAGAAAAGUAUCUAAAAAGGAACAAUCAAUUAUGUAUGUCCAAUUGGGUGUCUUUUAUUAGCUCAAUAAAACAGAUUACGGAUAUAAAUGUUCAAUGGUAGAGCAUGGACAUGUAAUAUUCACAAAUUGAUCAAGUACCAGCUAUUUGGAACAUAAACUGUGAUUAUCAGCACAAAAAAUCCAGCAUCAAAAGGCAAUGGUGAAAACAAACAAUUAGGGUACAAAUGACUACGAAACUAUCUUUAUAGAAUAGCCAAGUUUAACUCUUUUUGAGGGUAAACUUAUUAUGAAGGUUAAGAAUGCCAUAGAUAAAGGUUCAAUGGUCUUUUCCUUCUGAAGGAAAUCCUUGAUCAGUUUCUAAAUAUAAUUCACUUCACGAGAACAUAAAUAUAUCUUGUCUUCAAUAUAAACAACGGGAUACAUUAUACAUCAGUGUCAUUGGUGGCCACAUACACAAUUUUCCCCCUUUUCACUUUUCGCUGUGAAUGAGUUUAGGGUUCCAGAAAUUGCUGAUAGUAGAAGGCAAAAGAUAUUAUUGGAUAUAUAGGCUGGCAAGGCACUAAUAAUCGAAGAGGAACAGAAAAAAAAAAAAAAAAAAGAUGUUCAAACUAGAAAAGCGAAGGUGGGGAUAUGCAAACUCCAUUUCACUUACUUCUGGAAUUAUUAGUUUCAGAUAAUAGCUCAUCUAACAGAUCAGAUCCCAAGUCCUCAAACACCAAAACAUCUUCUUGCUUAACUUGUUUCCCUUUUCCUCUACGUUUUGAUGCAGUAUUUCUCAUCCUGUGCGCCUCUUUCAGGGCUUCAACUGGCGAUGAGCCAUCUUGGUAACUGCAGAUGACCAUAUUCCUUAAUGAUUCCUGAACUUUCUCGAUGGGGAAAUUGAGGGCGGUGGUUGGGCCUCGCACCGAAAGGGCAGCUUGGUCAUAUGCUAAAGCAGCUUCCUCUGCAGUAGCAAAAGUUCCAAGCCAAACCCUCAUUCCGUUUCUUGUGGAAUCCCUUAUUUCAGCCGCAUAUUUUCCCCAUGGCCGCUUUCGAACACCUAUGUAGUGCUUCUCCUUUUCAGCAGGCUCUUGUUGAAUGCUAGUAGUAAAAAAAAUGGAGUAUUCACCACUAUUAUUUUUGCUGGAUGAACAACUAGUUUCCCAUGAGGAUUUGAAUACCCCAUCAAUAGUAUUCCAGAAAUCUUGAUCUUCGUCUUCCAUCCAUGAAGAUUCCAUCCUAAAAUUCAUUAGUUAGUUAUUCAUCCCAGGUAAGUAGAAUAUGGAUGAGAGAAAUAUGUGAUAGAAGAAACCUUGACUCUCGGAUAAUUUGCCAACAUGAAAGCUACUGGAAAUAAAUACUAGUGUGACUGCCAUUAUUUUAAUUUGAUUAUCUGGCUGCGACAAUCUAGCCUAUAAGCCUGCCCAUCAUAAAAGCAAAUAAAUAAAAUAAAAAAGCCUUGACUUGAUUUUUUAAUUUUUAUUUUUUUGACUAAUUAUUUAAUCGUUUUAACUAUUUUAAUGAAUUGAAAGACGAAUGUGCAGUUUUUUUUAACAUUUUCUUUUCAACCUCUUACUCCUAGUAAUUUGCUGUUUUUCCCUUCUAUUUGCUUCAUGAUUGACUACGUUUCCAUGCUUUUUCAUAGAAAAUGUAGCUUUGCCCCCAGCUUGGGAAAUCGUAUUAGUGUUUAGGUCUUUUCAUAUUUUUUUGGACAAUUUAGGUUAUAUCAUAUUAUUUGGAAAAACAAACCCACUAACUAGAGCAGAUUAUUUUUGGGCUAUUUAGCAUGGGAAAAAGGUAUGUCUAAUCUUCGUACUGUAUCUUGGAAAAGGGACAAAAAUGAUUGUCACUGUAGACGUUACUAAACCAACGGCUCCCUGUUAACCAUCACAAGGGCUCUUGAAGUUUUUGUGAAGUGAGAGGUCAAGGGCUUGACCGUUAUCUCCCAUCAAUUGCCAUAUUAUGUUGUUUUUCCAAAUUCAGCAAGGUGUCAAAAGGCACCUAUCUGAUCCAAAGAUAGUUUAGUUUUCUUUGGUUCCCUAUGACCCAGUUGAGUCUAUCUUCUUUCCCAUAGUAUAGGAGCAUGGAUAGGUGUAGGUGUUCGUGUAUCAUUGACGUUUUUAAAAAAAAUUAGAUGUGUCUAAAUUGUGUAAAACUAUGUGAACAAAUUGUGAUUUAUGACUAAGUUGCUUCUACAACUUUGUAGCAGAGAUGCAACAAACAUGUAUGAGGCAAUGUUUUAAAACUCGAAUUGGAGAGUGAGCUGAAAGACCUUCUGAUUCAUGGUUUGAUCAAUUCAAUUGGUUCAACUUCGGUUCAAAGGUUUAAUAAUUUUUUAUUUAUUUUAAUAUUAAAAUAUUGAAUAAAAUAAAUAUUUUUUAGAAAAUAAAAAUUGGUUGAACCUCCUAAUUUUUAUCGGUUCAAUCGGUUCUUGAGCGGGUUUGAUUGGUUCAAUUGAUUCUUUAAGUUAUUCAUUGAACCGGACCGAAGGCAUAUCCAAUUCAUGGUUUGACCGAUCAAACGGGUCAAUCUAGUUCAGUUUUCAAAACACAUGUACAAGGUCUACAUAAAUACAAAUUGAAUAUCGCACCUCUAUUAUGAAAUUGCACAAAAAAUUAAGGAAUAAUUUUAGAAACUUCCUAUACGAUGUUUGACAAUUGCAGCCACCUUUCCCGAGGUACACUAACCUGCUUUGGUAUUCUCAAAACACUAUAUUAACCUACACAAGAUCUAUAAAUUCUAAGUAAAAAAGGAGUUUAAAAGAGAAAAAAAAAAAAAAGAAACCCUUUCUCAUUAAUACCAUCCUAUCCAAAGGUUCUAACCUCAUUUCGAAACUUUAUAUUCUAUUCUCAAUUAAUCUAAAUAAACUUUUUCUCAAUUAUACAAAGAGCCGACUAGGUAGUGCGAACGCAUUUGUCAAAAGGAGUCUCUUUAGAAAUUGUUUAGCAAAACAAUUUAAAAAAAAAAAGUCUAAACACUUGAAAAGGAUGCCUUCAAUACAUGGUUUAAAUUUUCUUGCAAAGGGUUACCAUGAAAUUUUUAACAAGCACAUAACAAUUAUGUUUGGCUUUUUUUUUUUUGACAUUUAAUUUGGUUAGUAAUCAAAUAGGGUAACACAGGAUAUAUUGGACUUUUUGUACUUGGAUCACCAAUUGUUAUUACGAUAUACUUUUUAGAGAAGGUUUCUAUAACUCUUCAAACCUCAGGAGAGGUUGUUAUAAUUAUUAAAAACUUUAGGAGAAGUUUUUAGAAUUAUCUAAAAACUAACCAUGAAUACUAAUUUGUUCAAAUAAUACUACAUUAUUGUAGUACCAUUCGUUGCCUCUUUCUCCUUGGUCUUAUAUCGCCUUCCACACCUUGUUAGAUUAGACAUAUUUUUUCGGGACUAAAUUUAAUUAAUGUUUGCUCCUGUUAGAAUUUCUUAUAUUCAAGUCCCCUCGCUUAUUUUGGUACUUGAUAUCAGGGAGGUGGCUUUAGCCCUCGGCUUACGCCCUCUCUCUUGUACGAAAUUUGCAUACUUCAAUAAUUCAAUUAGUUGUUCCCGCGGAUGGUCCGACUAGUUUCGUAGUCUGGUAGUUACCAGUAGGUUCCGUGAUCAACCCUGUGUACUAUCUCACUGUAUAUUCUUGGGACAAGACUCUACACAAUCUUAGGACAUUAGUUUGGUCGAAAGGUUGAGAUAUCCUAAGUGAAAAAAAAAAAUUCAAUUAGUUGGUGUGGACCAAAUAGUUUACCACCACUGGUGGUUUUCUUAAGAAAAAUAGAAUACCAAGUAUGAAUUUCACCCGAAAAUUCUCUGAAUGCAACUGUGAUGAGAUACUUUGAUGCUGACAUAAUAUAAUCUGAAUAUACCGAAAGUGCACUAGAAAAAAAAAAAGAAAAAACCCACAAAUUUUGGAAAAAAAAACUUCCCACUGAAACAAUAAAAUUAUAUUUAAUAUUUUUGAUGUUAUAUCAAUAACUAAGAAAUUUUAUUCAUGUGCUAUCUGGCUCCAACAAAAUAUAUAGUUUUCUGUAAUAGCAGUAGAAAAUACACAUCUACAAGUAUUGAUGGACCCCACUCUCAUAAAACUAUUUUUAGGUUGCCCAUGAAUAUUCACAUUAGUGCAAAAUUUUGUGUACUUUUUUAGUAGGAAGAUCGAAUUAAAAGCGAAAGGUUUAAAGUCAAAUUAGCUUCAAUUUUGAUACGUUAACUCCAAAUUUUUUUAGACACUAGUUAAGGAAAUAAUUUUCAUUCUAAAUUCCUUUUCUUUCUUUUGUGUAAAGAAGUCGAAGAAAUUAAGAAACAGGAAAGGAAAAUGAAGCGGCUUGGUAACUAUAUUUAAAAAAAAAAUGAAGUGGCCCGGUGGGAAUUGCACCCUCAUUAUAGGACGGGAAACAAAUAUGAGGAUACCCAAUUCUCUUCAUUCCAAGGAUUUGUGUUGUCAAGUACUGGAAGAAAAGUAAGUUGUUCAAUCUUUUCAAAAAGAUAACUUUUGCGAACUGGAAUGACCUUCCGAUAUCAAUUCACCCUAUAUUACUCCAUUUAAGGGUUCAAUCCAAGCAGAGCAUGAAGUGUACAUAAUGCAAUAAAAUACAAUUUGCACUAAAGUUCGAGUACGUUUAAACAAAAUAGAUGAACUGGAUCGUAUCGUUACAAGCACAAGGAUUUUGAAAGCUACUUUAAUUAAUUAUCUAAAAGAUUAGGAUUUUAGUGAUGAAUAUUUCUGUAUUUGGCGAUAAGUCAGGAUGACAAUAUUGUAAAAAAGUUGUAAAAUUGAUUCACUAUCUUCAGUGACUUCAGCUAUUGUCAUCAACUCAUCACACAUUAGCACCACAAGUAUAAUAUUUGUGAAACAUUUGUUAUCCUUCCUUUUGUUAAAAAAAGACAGAUUACCUAAAAAAUAGAUUGUAAUUAAAUGCAUCUCAGCCUCCACCUACUUUUUUUUUUUUUUUUUUUUCAACCGAGAUCGGAUGGUAAUGCAUGCAUGAAAAUACAUCAUUCAUUUCAUCAUUAAAAUUCAUCAUUCAUUUCAUCAUUCAAAAAUGCAGAAUAGGUGCACCUAGUAUUUGGUUGGCAGCCCAUAUUUUAAUACUCCUGUACACAAAAAAAAAAUCCAUAUUUUAAUGUGCCAAGCUUGUUCAUUAGUCUUGAUUUUGACCCCCGGAGGCCCUGGAUUUUGUCUUCUUUCGUCGGCGGAUUCUGGACGAGGACAGUGCCCUUAGUAAUAGGAACUUAAAAAUUGAAUUACCUACUCCUCCCCUCCCCCUCUCUCUUCCUUGGGGCUGAGGGUUGGGGCUCAGAUAUACCUGAUGCAAGUAACUGAUGUUAUUGCACAAGAUAUGCGUAUCAAACCUUGUUUAUGUUGGAGGAAAAAUUCAUUAUAGAGUGAAUGAGAAAAUCGUUCUCAUAAUGGUACUCUUGAUAGAAUCCAAGGAUAAUUAUCUAUCAUUCAUGUACCUGAAGAUUCAUGUACCUAGGAUUCAUGUACUUAGAAAUUAAGUAUUAAUGCAUGAAUUUGGAGUUUUCUUAUCGAGAAUACAUGUAUGUACAUGAAUGUGGUACUUUGAUAAAUGUGAAGAUAAUUAAAUGGAAUUUAACAUUUGUUUCCAAUUUCUAUAAUCACCCUUAGUCAGCAUCUAUAAAUAACUCUCUUUUUGUUUUGUUUUGAGGUAGAGCUCUCUCUCCAUUUUUUUCUUAUUCUUUUGCAUCUUCAUCUUUUAUAGUGUUCCAUAUUACUCUAGUUUGAGUUCGCUGUGGUAAAGAAAUUUAGUGCUAACAUAUUCACCUUUAAUCCGUUGUAUCCUGGGAGACAGACACCUACUUAAUCUCGAGCACUCUACCUGUAGGGGGCGAAUUUGUUUUAAAAAAAUUGUGCUUACAAGACUCGGAUUGUUAUUUUUAUCUCCACCCAUUUCUUUCUUUUCAGUUUAUAUUUAUUCUUUCCUAUAUUGUACCAGCCUAAUUUUACUAACAGUUUUAAAACAGAUUCUAUUCUCUAUGGCUGACAAUACAGGAAGAGAAACCAACAAUUCUACUUCUGAUGCCUCUGCCUCUGGCACUAUUGUGAAACGACCUGAAGGAAUGAUUACUCCUAUGGGUUCUAUCAACCAUAGUGAGAAAUCUAAGAAGUUCCAUGGCUUGAACUUCAAGACAUGGCAACAAAAGAUGUUGUUCUAUUUGACAACAUUGAAUCUCUCGAGAUUCCUAAGUGAGGAUGCUCCAAAGCUGCCUGAGGGCUCAACUGAUGCACAAGCUGUCAGUGCUAUUGAUGCUUGGAAACACUCCGAUUUUUUUUGUCGAAAUUUUAUCAUGAACUGCUUGCAUGACUCGCUGUAUAACGUGUAUCAAGUACACAAGACGGCGAAGGCAUUGUGGGAAUCCUUGGAUAGAAAAUAUAAAAUCAAAGAUGCCGGGGCAAAGAAAUUUGUCGUCGGAAAAUUUCUAGAUUAUAAAAUGGUGGAUUCCAUGACUCUUAUCAGCCAGGUGCAAGAAAUUCAGAUUAUCUUGCAUGAGAUUCUAACUGAAGGCAUGAUUUUGAGUGAAACCUUUCAAGUAGUUGCUGUUAUUAAAAAGUUACCUCUUGGGUGGAAGGAUUUCAAGAACUAUCUCAAGCACAAGCGCAAAGAGAUGAGUAUGGAGGACCUUAUUGUUAGACUUCGAAUUGAAGAAGACAACAGGGGUUCCGAUUGCAAGGCAUUAAAUUCUUUUGAUGCUAAAACAAAUAUUGUGGAGUAUAAGCAAGAGCAAAAUUCCAAAGGCAAAAAGCCAAAUCAAAAUCUUGGGGCAAAAGGGAAAAUCUCUAAGCAGAAAUUCCAAGGGAAGUGCUUCAACUGUGACAAAAAAGGUCACAAGUCCACUGAAUGUAAGCUUCCAAAGAAGAAGAAGCAUGAAACGAACUUGCUUGAUGGAAUCGAGGGAGACAUGGAAAACAUGAACCUGACUGCUGUGGUUUCUGAAGUGAAUAUGAUGGGGUCAAAUCUGAAAGAAUGGUGGAUUGACACUGGAGCUAUAAGACAGGUUUGCACAAACAAAGACUUGUUCACUACCUUCGAAAAAAUUGAAGGUGAAAAAAUGUUCAUGGGGAACUCUGCCUCAUCUGCUAUUGAAGGUCAAAGUAAGGUGUUGCUAAAGAUGACUUCUGGCAAAACAUUGACUUUGAACGAUGUUCUGUAUGUGCCAGAAAUCCGCAAAAACCUUGUUUUUGGAUCAUUACUGAACAAGCAUGGCUUUCACAUGAUUUUUGAAUCCGAUAAAGUUAUAUUAUCCAAAUCUGGAAUGUAUGUAGGAAAAGGAUAUACAACUGAUGGGUUGUUCAAAUUGAAUGUAAUGACUAUUGUGAAUAAUAAGAAUAAGUUUUCUGCUUAUUUGCUUGAGUCUUCCAAUUUAUGGCAUGGUAGACUAGGUCAUGUUAAUUAUGAUACUUUGCGUAGACUAAUUAACUUGGAUCAUAUUCUUUCUUUUUAAAUCAAUUCAAACCAUAAAUACGAGAUUUGCGUAGAAGCAAAAUUAACAAGGUCAUCUUUUUAAACAAUUGAAAGAAACACCGAACCCCUUGAAUUGAUUCACACAGAUGCCUGUGAUUUGAAAUUUGUUCAAACAAGAGGUGGUAAUAAACAUUUUAUCACUUUCAUUGAUGAUUGCACAAAAUAUUGUUAUGUGUUUUUGCUCAAAAGUAAAGAUGAAGCCUUGAAAAAAUUCAUUUUCUACAAGAAUGAAGUUGAAAAUCAACUUAAUCAGAGAAUUAAAAGGUUAAGAAGUGAUAGAGGUGGUGAAUAUGAAACACCUAUUGGUGAUUAUUGUGCAAAAUAUAGAGUUAUUCAUGAAGUAACUGCACCUUACUCAUCACAAUCAAAUGGUGUUGCUGAACGGAAAAAUCGCACAUUAAAGGAAAUGAUAAAUGCGAUGUUACUAAGUUCAAAAUUACCUCAAAUAUAUGUAGGGUGAAACUGUUUUGUCAAUCAAUUACCUUUUAAAUAGGGUACCCCGAAAAAAAUAAGAUAAAACUCGUUAUGAAUUAUGGAAAGGUAGGAGACCAUCCUACAAAUACUUGAAAGUGUAGAGGUGUCUUGCAAAAGUGGCUAUUCCAACACCAAAGAGAAUAAAAAUAGGUCAUAGAACUGUAGACUGUAUCUUUAUAGGCUAUACACAUAAUAAUGCUGAUUAUCGGUUUCUUAUGUAUAAUUCAGAAAUUUUGGAUAUACACAAAAAUACGAUAAUAGAAUCAAGGAAUACUUCAUUCUUUGAAAAUGUAUUUCCUUGUAAAUCAAAUGGUGCAUCAAGUUCAUCAAAACGAACACAUGACGUCAUGAAUCAAGAAAAUCAUGAUCAUGACUUGAUUCAACAAGAUGAACCGAGACGUAGCAAAAGGGAUAGAGUGGAAAAAUCAUUUGGAGAUUAUUUUACAACUUUUCUAUUAGAAAAGGAACCAUAAACCUAUACAGAAGCUGUAAGUUCUUCUGAAAGAUUUUUGUGGAAAGAAGCAAUAAAAAGUGAGGUUGAUCUAUUUUACAGAAUCACACAUGGGAGUUAGUGAUCCUCCUGGUUGUAAACCUUUAUGAUCAAAAUGAAUCUUUAAAAGGAAAACGAAAUCUGAUGGCUCUAUCGAUAAGUAUAAAGCCACACUUGUAAUCAAAGGAUACAAACAACAAGAACAUUUGGAUUAUUUUGAUACUUAUUCUCCUGUUACGAGAAUAAAUUCUAUCAGAAUGAUUCUUGCUACCGCUGCAUUAAGAAAUCUAGAGAUACAUCAAAUGGAUAUAAAGACGACUUUCUUAAAUGGUAAUUUAGAUGAAGAAAUCUACAUGGAGCAACCUGAGGUUUUCAUAACUCCGAAAAAAGAAAGUAAAGUCUGUAAAUUGAUAAAAUCAUUGUAUGGACUAAAACAAGCGCCAAAGAAAUAGCAUGAAAAGUUCAACAAUGCUAUGAUAACUAAUGGAUACAAAAUAAAUGAGUGUGACAAAUGUGUCUACACUAAAGAAACAGAACAUGGCUAUGUCAUCUUAUGUCUUUAUGUAGAUGACAUACUUAUUGUUGGUAGUAAUAACAAAAUGGUCAAGUCUACCAAAGACAUGUUAAAUUCAAAAUUUAACAUGAAAGACAUGGGGCUUGCUGAUGUAAUUUUAGGAGUUAAAAUUACAAGAAUAUCAGACGGCUUGGUCUUGAGCCAAACUCAUUAUAUGAACAAGAUUCUAGAAAAAUUCAAUAAGAAUGAUUUUGGAAUUGCAAGAACUCCAUUAGAUAAUAGUUUCCAUCUAUCUAAGAAUAGAGGAGAGAGUAUUUCUCAAGUAAAAUACUCACGAAUCAUUGGAAGUCUAAUGUAUUUAAUGAGUUGCACUAGACCUGACAUUGCAUAUGCAGUGAGCAAAUUGAGCAGAUUUACAAGCAAUCUGAGUGCUGAUUAUUGGAAAGCAAUUUCAAGGGUACUUAAAUACCUACGUUACACUCGAAACUAUGAACUAUAUUACACUAGAUACCCUGCUGUUCUAGAAGGGUACGCUGAUGCAAAUUGGAUAUUUAAUAUAAAAGAUUCAAAAUCUAUAAGUGGAUAUGUGUUCACACUUGCCGGUGGGACAGUAUUCUGGAAGUCUUCUAAACAAACUAUUGUAGCUAGGUCUACAAUGGAAUCUGAAUUCAUUGCCUUGGAUAAAUGUGGAGAAGAAGCUGAAUGACUACACCAUUUCCUUGAAGACAUUCCAAAAUGAUAAAACUGUGCCACCAAUAUGUAUUCAUUGUGAUAGUCAAUCAGUAAUUGGAAGAGUACAGAAUCACAUAUAUAAUGGUAAGUCUAGACAUAUACGUCGUAGGCGGAAUACCAUUAAACAACUACUCUCAACAGGAGUUAUCUCUAUUGAUUAUGUGAAAUCAAAUGAUAACAUAGCGGAUCCGUUAACCAAAAGAUUGAACAGAGAGUUGGUUGCAAAAAUGGCAAAAGGAAUGGGACUAAAGCCCAUGGAAGGCUAAGUGUUAUAAAGGAAACCCAACUUAGCUGACUGGAAAUCCCAAUAUCUAGGUUCAAAGGGACAAUCUAAUUAUAAGGACUUAGCAUAGUCAUUGUAGGGGAAUAUCCCUAGACCCAUUCCAUAAUGAAACAAUGACGCAAAAGAGAAUUAAAGAUAGCACAAUAGUAUGCUUUAAUGAUUCUUAAGUGAAGUAAUUAAUUACUAGAGACUUAAGUAAAUCACCUAUGUGAGAGUGAAGUGGGGCCGCUUCAAAAGAGAAUUGUUUAGGCUCAAUUCCAAAAACUCUUGCUGAACCAGGUUGAUGUUCAUGGCCAAAACAAACAUAACUAUGAGAACUGAACAAAUGGAGCAUAAUUCCUGUGUGACAUAUAUGGUUCAUUUACACUGAAAAACGGGACAGUUCAAGGACAUCAUGUCUACUGGAUUGCUAAUAAAGUAAGUGUAUUUCACGAGAGAAGGUUCAAAAGGUAACACCAACCUAUCUUAUGCAGGUUUCAAUUGUGGAACACUACUGUCGAGUCAAAUUCAAAACAAUUUUUUCAUUCAUGUGGGGGAUUGUUGGAAAAAUAGAAAAAUCCAUUGUAGAGUGAAUGAGAAAAUCGUUCUCAUAAUGGCACUCUUGAUAGAAUCCAAGGAUAAUUAUCUAUCAUUCAUGUACCUGAAGAUUCAUAUACCUAAGAUUCAUGUACUUAGGAAUUAAGUAUUAAUACAUGAAUUUGGAGUUUUCUUAUCGAGAAUACAUGUAUGUACAUACUUUGAUAAAUAUGAAGAUAAUUAAAUGGAAUUUAACAUUUGUUUCCAAUUUCUACAAUCACCCUUGGCCAACAUCUAUAAAUAACUCUCUUUUUAUUUUGUUUUGAGAUAGAGCUCUCUCUCCAAUUUUUUCUUAUUCUUUUGCAUUUUCAUCUUUUAUAGUGUUCCAUAUUGCUCUAGUUCGAGUUCGCUGUGGUGAAAAAGUUUGGUGCUAACAUAUUCAUCUUUAAUUCGUUGUAUCUUGGGAGACAGACGUCUACUUAAUCUCGAACACUCUACCUGUAGGGGGCGAAUCUGUUUUAAAAAAAUUGUGCUUACAAGCCUCGGAUUGUUAUUUUCAUUUCCACUCAUUUCUUUCUUUUCAGUUUAUAUUUAUUCUUUCUUAUAUUGUACCAGCCUAAUUUUACUAACAGUUUAUUGGUAUGUAUUAGUUUUCUCGUUGAACCAACUCAAUCAGUCAAUUGUGAAUUUAACAAUCAUAUAAGAAAUGAUAGAGCUACACGUGCAGAUGAAAAUGGACUUAAAAGAGUAGCAACUCUCGGGUCUUAAAAAGCCAAGUUACGUAGAGUAUGAUGAAGUAAAUUAGACAUUAUACUACAUCUACAUAUCAUGAGUUAGACUUUGGAUAAGUUUCAUGUUGCUUUGUAGCAUAUGGUUUAGAACUUUACAAUUUAAACUUCUUGAUUUGGCUAAUCUUGUUUCACAUUCAACAUGUUGUGCUUUUACAAAGGCAAUUCUAAAAGGUGUCUUAAUGGUUGUAGUGGCUCAGACAGAUUUGAAUUAGGGAUAAGAGAUAGAAGGAGAAAGAAGGAGAAGUGAUCAGAAAGGGGGAAAAUGGGGAAAGAGAAGAAAGGGCAGAGAAGGAGGAAGACUGAGAUUGUAUUGAGAGGGAAAUUCUGAAUUACAAAUUUUGAUAACCUCCCUAGUAGACAGACGCAUUAUUUAUACAGAUUAGAGCCUUCAGCUCAAGAAAACAAUCUGCAAUUGUCUAACUAACUUUCCCGCCAAAUAACUAACUUCCUAAUUCUGUUGUAGUAAUGCUCAGCCACGUGAUCCUUCCCUUGUGCUCACAUUUCCUCUGCUCAUUCCUUUGCUGACUCCUCUUGGUAGCUUGUGCAUGAAGCUCGACUGAUACGGGCCAUAACAAUACCUCCCCCUAAAAAUAAUCCUAGUCUCUAGGAUUGAUUGAUUGUAAAAGCAGGGAAUUGGGCAUGAAUGAACGACAGGUCUUCCCAAGUGGCUUCCUCAGGUUCCAUGUUUUCCCAUUGCACCAACACCUGAUCUAUACCCUGACCCUUCCUAUAAAUUGUUCUCCUGUCCAAUACUACUGAAGGCAUUACCUCGAACUCACUAUCUGCAUUCAAGGUAGGCAAUGUAGUACUGACUGGAGCCUCCUUAGGUGACUUCUUGAGCAGUGAGACAUGAAAGACAGGAUGGAUGUUAGACCCUGCAGGUAGCUGCAACUUAUAGGCUACAGUGCCUACCUUCUGUUCCACCUGAUAGGGUCCAUAGUACUUGGCAGUUAGUUUUAAAUUCCUUCUCACGGCUACAGAAGUUUGUUUGUAAGGUUGGAGCUUCAGAUAAGCCCACUCGCCCACUUCAAAUUCCCUGUCACUCCUCCCCUUAUCAGCCAACUGUUUCAUUCUAUUCUGAGCCUUCAGCACGUUCUCCCUGAGCAAGGAAUUUCACCCCAAUCUUUCCUGUGCCCAAUCUUCCACUGCAGCCACUAACGUGGUAUCAGGCCUCAGAUUCAGCUGAAUAGGUUUGUAACCAUACAAGGCCUGAAAGGGUGGCAUUUGCAGACUGCUAUGAUAGUUGGUGUUGUACCACCAUUCAGCUGCAGGUAGCCAUUUCCUCCAUUUCCCUGGUUGAUCCAUGCACACGCUUCUCAGGUAACUCUCCACAUAUCUGUUAACCCUCUCAGUCUGUCCAUCAGAUUGAGGGUGGUAAGCAGAAGAAAAGUUGAGCUCUGUGCCCAGCACCUUAAAAAGUUCCUGCCAGAAUAGGCUAGUAAAUGCCCUGUCCCUGUCAGAGACAAUGUGGGUUGGUAAGCCAUGCAACCUGAAAAUUUGAUCAAAGAAGGCCUCUGCUACACUUUUAGCAGUGUAAUGAGAGGUCAUAGGAAUGAAGUGAGCAUAUUUAGUAAACCUAUCCACCACUACAUAGAUGACAUUGCAGCCAAAAGACUUAGGUAGCUCAUCUAUGAAGUCCAUAGAAAUUUGUUGCCAAGCUUGCUCAGGUAUAGCUAAUGGCUGCAGCAGUCUUGGAUAAGAGCAAUUUUCACUCUUACUCCUUUUACAAAUAUCACACCCCUGUACAUACUGUUCCACUUCCCUCUUCAUUCCGGGCCAAUACACAUAGCUCUUGAUCCUCUGAUAAGUACCAUGAUUUCCAGAGUGCCCCCCAAGGCAAGAAUCAUGGAAGCAGGAGAUCAAUUUUUGUCUUAACCCGGAGCCUGCCCCUAUCCAUAUCCUACCUUUAAACCUCAAAAUCCCCUGGUGAUAAGAGUAGUCAGGCAGUGCAUCAGCUCCCAUAGCCAACUUCAUCAGUGCUUCUUUAGCUAUUUCAUCCCCAAUGUAGCUCUCAGCCACCAUUGUCAACCAUUGAGGUUUAAUGGUAGUAAGAGAAUGCACAAAUGCUUCUGCUGGAUCUCCCUGCUCACCCCUCCUUGACAAUGCAUCUGCAACCACGUUGUCUUUACCCCUUUUGUACUGAAUCUCAUAAUCCAUUCCCAUCAGUUUAAUCAACCAUUUCUGCUGAAGGGAAGUGUUUAUUUUCUGGUCCAGCAAGUAUUUGAGGCUCUCAUGGUCAGUCUUUAUGAUGAAAUGGUUUCCCAUCAAGUAAUGUUUCCAUUUUUGAACUGCAGUGAUGAGUGAUAGCAGCUCCUUCUCAUAAGUGGAUCUGGUCUGAUUUUUCUGUCCCAACACUUGACUGUAGUAGGCUAUAGGUCUCCCCUGCUGCAUCAGAACUGCCCCAAUGGCUAACUGACUAGCAUCAGUUUCCAACAGAAAUGGCUUUGAAAAAUCAGGUAAAGCUAACACUGGUGUCCUGCUCAUGGCCAUUUUCAACUGCUGGAAUGCAGAUUCUGCAGCAGUACCCCAUGCAAACUGAUCCUUCUUCAGCAACUCAGUGAGACGUUUGGCCACCUCUCCGUACCCCUUAACAAACCUCCUGUAGUAACCUGUUAAGCCCAAGAAUCCUCUGAGGCCCUUCAAGCAGGUAGGGGUUGGCCAGGACAGCAUAGCUUCUACCUUAGAUGGAUCAGUUUUCACCCCUUCACUAGUAAUUAGAUGUCCCAGAUACUCCACUUGAUUCUGACCAAAUGAACAUUUUGACAUCUUUGCAUAUAGGAAGUGUCUUCUUAAGGUCUCUAGUACUAUGGAUAAGUGGUGUAAGUGAGUUUUGUGGUCUGGACUAUAGAUCAGAAUGUCAUCAAAGAACACAAGGACAAAUUUUCUGAUGUAAGGCUCAAAAACUGAGUUCAUUAGUGCCUGAAAGGUGGCGGGUGCAUUGGUGAGUCCAAAUGGCAUUACAAGGAACUCAUAUAGUCCAGAGUGAGUCCUGAAAGCAGUUUUGGGAAUGUCAUCAGAGUUCAUUCUGAUUUGGUGGUAGCCUGAUCUAAGGUCAAUUUUAGAAAAGACCCUGGCUCCAUGUAACUCAUCUAACAGGUCAUCUAUAAUGGGAAUUGGAAACUUAUCUUUUAUGGUAAGGUUGUUUAGCUGUCUAUAAUCAAUACAGAGCCUCCAACUCCCAUCUUUUUUUUUGACUAAUAGAGUAGGAGAUGCAAAGGGGCUGUGACUGAUUUGUAUAAGGCCAGAAGCUAACAUGUCUUUUACUUGCCUAUCAAUUUCAUGUUUUUGAAAAUGGGGGCACUUGUAUGGAGGAAUUUUGAAAGGUUUGACAUCUGAUUUAAGGGGAAUGUGGUGGUCAUGGCAUCUGUUAGGAGGGAGAGAUUUAGGUUCUGCAAAGACAUCAUCAUAUUUAGUCAACAAUUUAGUGAGAGAAUCUGGUACAGACAUUACCUGUGAAUUGUGAAUCUGCACCAUGCAAGACUGCUGUAGAGCCUUCCUGAUCUUAUGCUUGACAUACUUGUGAGCUGAUAAGCCUUGCUGCAUCCUAACGUUGGCAGUGUUGGAAUCUCCCCUUAGCACCACCUGCUCCCCUUCCUUUUCAAAAGACAGAUGCAAUUUCUUGAAGUCAAAAGUGAUAGGACUGUAGGAUUUCAUCCAGUCCACCCCCAAUAUCAAAUCAUAAGGUUCCAGAUCCAGGACAAACACAUCGUGUGUAAAUUUGUGGUCCUGCAUGUCCCACUGCAUCCUAGGAAUCCAGUGGUCACAUUGCAACUCCUUGCCAUCAGCUAUCUUGACCUUAAAAGGCCUAUGCCUCUGCACCAUUUCUGGGUACAUCUGAGCCACAGAUCUCUUGAUAAAGCAGUUAGUACUUUCUCCAUCUAGAAGGAUUGUCAGAUGAUGACCCUUAUACCGCCCCUGCAUUUUGAUGAUGCUAGAUGAUAAUUCUCCUGACAUUGCAUGCAAGGUUAGCAUCACAUCAUGCUCCUGUUGGUUCCCCACGUACUCAAUAACUUCCUCUUCUUCUGCUGUCUGAUCUACUGUCUGAUCUGUAUCACAUUUGUCCCCAUCAUCUACUAACAUCAUGUGGAUUCCCCUGCUUUUGCAAUUAUGCCCUGGACUGAAUUUUUCUCCACACCUAAAACACAGAUUAUGGUCCUUCCUGUAUUGAAACUCAGUAGGGGAGAUCCUUUUAAAAACCUGCUGUGGAUUGGAUUUCCUGCUGUAUUCUGGUGACCAAGUACCAGUCUGCCUUACUCCUGGAUCCUGCACCCCUUUGGUAGAACCAUAGGAAGUUGAUUGUGGGCCACUUUUGAGUGCAGUUCUAUUGGACUUGUGGAGGAGCUCUAAGUGGUGUUCCUGCCAUCUGGCCAUUUCAAAUGCAGCUUGUAGACUAAGUGGCCUAUGCAUCUUCACAGCCGAUUUGAUUUCACCCUUCAGUCCACUUAGAAAACUAGCUAUGUAGUAAGAUUCGGUCAAUUCAGGUACCUGGAGCAUUACAAUAGACCUCAACUCUUCAAACUUUUCCUGGUAAGCCAGAACUGUGGAGGAUUGACUAAGCUUGCUGAAUUCCUCUACAGCAUCUGCUUCCCCUACAUGGCUGAAUCUUCUACACACCUCCAAACCAAAAUCCUUCCAUUGAACCACCCCCUGUCUUUUUUGAAAUUUUGAUACCAGAGAUCUGCCUUGCCUUCUAGAUGCAAUUCCACCAAGUCCAUCUGCUGUUCUUCAGGAGUGUGAAACAGUUGGAAGAACUUCUCACACUUCCUGAUCCACUCCUUGGGACUAUGGCCUUCAAACCUGGGAAAAUCUAGCCUGGGAACCCCCACAGGCCAGUGCUGGCCAUCUCCUCUGGUUGGAUUGCCAAUCUCACAUUGUCGAACACCUUGAGCUCCAGUACUGCGAUGAUUAGGAGUCCUCUCUGCCGAGCCCGUAGGAUUUCCCAGAAUGCCCUUGUCUCCUUGCAAACUCCUCAAAAUGGAACUGAUUUGAGUACUCAAGAAGCUUUUCAGCUCUGAGUUAUCGGUUUCCAUUAGAGCUCGCAUCUCCCUUUGAUUACCUUCCAACCGUUCGUCCAUAGCCUGCUUGUCCGCAGCCAAGGAAUCAAUGACUGCUUGGAUCCUAGCCUCUUGUUUCCUGAGCUGCUCUUCAAAACUCUUCAUUCUAGUUCCUUCCGCCAUGAUUUUCAGCGGUUUGAAGCUUACAAUCCAAGAAUCGCAAGCUCUGAUACCACUGUAGUGGCUCAGACAGAUUUGAAUUAGGGAUAAGAGAUAGAAGGAGAAAGAAGGAGAAGUGAUCAGAAAGGGGGAAAAUGGGGAAAGAGAAGAAAGGGCAGAGAAGGAGGAAGACUGAGAUUGUAUUGAGAGGGAAAUUCUGAAUUACAAAUUUUGAUAACCUCCCUAGUAGACAGACGCAUUAUUUAUACAGAUUAGAGCCUUCAGCUCAAGAAAACAAUCUGCAAUUGUCUAACUAACUUUCCCGCCAAAUAACUAACUUCCUAAUUCUGUUGUAGUAAUGCUCAGCCACGUGAUCCUUCCCUUGUGCUCACAUUUCCUCUGCUCAUUCCUUUGCUGACUCCUCUUGGUAGCUUGUGCAUGAAGCUCGACUGAUACGGGCCAUAACAAUGGUGCUUGUUGGGUGAACUUUUAAGGCCAAAUUUCUCUUGCUAGGCAAAAAUAUUGGACUAUCCUAAACUUGUAUAUAUGGUCCUUCCUCCAAGAAAAAAAAAGAAAAAGAAAAUCUUGUAUGGUGCAAUGAUAAAUUUCAACUGUCCCUAGUAUAUCUACAUCUCGCUCUACCCAUAGUGGUAACCUGAAAUUUCUAUUUUAUCUCGACUCUAUGACUUUUUUUUUUCCCCAAAACGCUAGAAGUUUUUAUUUCUACUAAUAGAGAAAUUACACUAUUCGAGCAAAGGCUCAAGUUUUUCUUCACAAAAGUGUACUGAAACACUGAGAAUCGAAGAAUUCCUCAUCAAAAUGUAAAUGCAUUGCCUGCUGACUCAGUUUAUGACUGAGACAAUUAAUGCUAUCAUUAGCAGACUGAAACUCAAAUGAGCAUAUCGUAAACAUUAAGCUAAGAUCUGUUAUGUCUUGUAUGUGGGCUGCUAGUAGCAUGUUGCAUGAAACUUGACAGUUGAGAAGCUUGUAAACCUGAAGGCUUGGUGUUUGAAGUUUGAUACUGAAGCAGCCACGUUCCUUAAGCUUGCAAAGUGCCAACCGUAUAGCCACAAGGUUGUCCAGUACUGGUGAUCCGGUGCUUCUUUCUUUCAUUAGCCACACUGCACUUAGUUGAUGCAAUCUGUUUUUUGCCGUAAUGCCGAUUCCCAUGUUCAGACCCUCGAGAUGCUGUCCCACAUAUACACUAAUGGUCAGUGUGUUUGUAUCUUCGACCACCCUCUGCUCUUGUACAUCAGCUAUAUCUGUUUCUGAGAUGCUCACUUGCUGUUCAGUCUGUUGGGAUUUCAAAUAUUCCUUCCAUUCCAUAACUACCUUUGUAAUCACUUUCAUUGGAUGUCUUUCUUUGUCCUUGAACUCUACUGUAUUCCCGGCUUUCCAAAUUUGCCAAAGAAAGUCCACUGUCAAUACUAUAUGUUCCCUUCCUUCCUUUCUAUCUGUGACUUCCAUUAGCGUACUCCACCAUUUCUUGAAGUCGCUUGUAAAUUGCUGCAGACCAUCCCAUUGCAAUGAAGCCAUCUUCCAGAUCAUCCUUGCGGUCCUUGCACUGGAAGAAAAUGUGCUCCACUAUCUCACUGUUUUCACCAUAUUGCUUACACAUUAGGUCACCUUUUCCCAUUCUCCGAAAGAUUGCCUCUCGACCUGGUAGCACUUGAUGAAGGCACUUCCAUAAAAACAUCUUGUGUUUGUGCUUUUCUGGAAGACCCCAUAGUUGUUUCCAGAUUUUGUUAUUUCCCCCUGACCAGCUUGUUUCCCCCUUGCCAUUCAAUUGCACUAUAGGCUGCGUGGCAAAACUUGUAAGUGCUGCAUAUGCCGAGCUGACCGUGUAGUUUCCUUUUUUGCUAUGAGUCUAAAAGUAGCAAUCUGGUCGCCCUGUCAAGCUUAUAGGUGUUUUGAGUAUAUGAGCAGCUUCGUGUGAACUAAAGAGCCUGAAGAUGAGAGUUGAUUUCCGCCUAAAGUUGGCUAUCAAUUCACUAACUGUUGUGAUAUUGCAACCAGGGGGUUUUGUGGAUUCAAUCUUAGACCACCCUCUGCUCUUGUACAUCAGCUAUAUCUGUUUCUGAGAUGCUCACUUGCUGUUCAGUCUGUUGGGAUUUCAAAUAUUCCUUCCAUUCCAUAACUACCUUUGUAAUCACUUUCAUUGGAUGUCUUUCUUUGUCCUUGAACUCUACUGUAUUCCCGGCUUUCCAAAUUUGCCAAAGAAAGUCCACUGUCAAUACUAUAUGUUCCCUUCCUUCCUUUCUAUCUGUGACUUCCAUUAGCGUACUCCACCAUUUCUUGAAGUCGCUUGUAAAUUGCUGCAGACCAUCCCAUUGCAAUGAAGCCAUCUUCCAGAUCAUCCUUGCGGUCCUUGCACUGGAAGAAAAUGUGCUCCACUAUCUCACUGUUUUCACCAUAUUGCUUACACAUUAGGUCACCUUUUCCCAUUCUCCGAAAGAUUGCCUCUCGACCUGGUAGCACUUGAUGAAGGCACUUCCAUAAAAACAUCUUGUGUUUGUGCUUUUCUGGAAGACCCCAUAGUUGUUUCCAGAUUUUGUUAUUUCCCCCUGACCAGCUUGUUUCCCCCUUGCCAUUCAAUUGCACUAUAGGCUGCGUGGCAAAACUUGUAAGUGCUGCAUAUGCCGAGCUGACCGUGUAGUUUCCUUUUUUGCUAUGAGUCUAAAAGUAGCAAUCUGGUCGCCCUGUCAAGCUUAUAGGUGUUUUGAGUAUAUGAGCAGCUUCGUGUGAACUAAAGAGCCUGAAGAUGAGAGUUGAUUUCCGCCUAAAGUUGGCUAUCAAUUCACUAACUGUUGUGAUAUUGCAACCAGGGGGUUUUGUGGAUUCAAUCUUACCGCCCUUUCCUUCCAACAACCAAGCAUCUUCCUAAAUUCUGGUGUUGUUCCCAUUUCCAAUCUGUUUCCUAGCUCCGCAUUGCACCACCUCUCUUGCGGACAUCAAACUUUUCCAUAUCCAUGAUGCAUUACCUUUGAUUUCGCAGUUGAAGAGGGUUGUUUUGGGGUAGUACCUGGCUUUCAAAACUUAGCAAAAGAUUGGGGCAUAUGAGAAGCCUCCAAAUCUGUUUGCCUAGCAAAGCUUUGUUAAAGCUUUGAAGAUCUUUGAAGCCACGACCACCAGCUUGUUUUCCAGUUGACAAUGUCUUCCAUGAAACCCAAUGCAUUUUCGUUUGACCGUUCUCCUCCCCGUGGAUAUUAAGUCAAAUUCAUCAGUUCAUAAACAAUAUCUCGACUCUGUGAUAGCUAGGCAGAAUCCGAUGUUCUAUAGAACAAUGUGACUAGGAUUAAAAAAAGAAUAAAAUAAAAAUGAAGAAAUUUUUUUCUUUUUAAGAAUGUUUUACUUUGGAAGAAGAUAGGUACCUGUAAAUGUAAUUUAAGACAGUUGAAAUUUCUUCGAAUUUAUCAUGACCCAUUUGUUGAUUAAGAAGCAUCCGUCCUUUCUCUUCAUGCUUCUUGUCUCUUAUUGUUUUAACAGUGAUUUCUGUCUAAGGGGUUUUUUUAACCUAUUAAACUAAAUAAUCAUUUUGCCAUUUUCAAGUUUAUCCGUUACUUCACUUUUUUGAACUUUUAGGCAUCCUACGUUGCUUGCAGUCGUCCUAUUUAUGUAGAAUGUCUCACUCCUUUUGUGUAGGGAUAGAAAUGGGGUGGGUUUGGGGCGGGAAUCCCUCCCCCGUCCCACCUGCCAAAAAACUUCCCUCGCCCCUGCCCUUGUCGUUCUCCCCGCCCCGUCCCGUUUCCCCUGCGAGUGCUCGCGGUUGAUAAUUUGCUUUUUUUUUUUUUAAGAGUCUUUAUUCAAUAGAUCAAAUCUAAAUUCAAAGAAUAAACUAAUAUACGGAAUUAAAAAAAGUGAAAAAUGAAAAAUGAAACAAGAAAAGUGUUGAAAUAAAACACUAAGAAAAUUAAGAAACUCAAUUGAAUUGUAUAAAUAACAUUUGGGAAUACUCAUAGAACGCGUAAUAUGCUUGUACCAAAUAUCAACUAGGAAUUUGGAUAGAAAUGAGAUAAAAGUUAUGUUUAUUUAGCAAAUAUUUUAAGUUUAUUAUUAUUAGAUUAUAUGAUAUAUUACAUUUAUUUAUAUUAAUAAAUUGAAGCAGGAGAUGGGGCAGGAGUUGAUGCAGGGGUAUCGUCCCCCGCCCCAUUUAAAACAGGGGGAGAAAAAUUCCCCCCAGUGCCGCUCCAUCUCCCACCCCAUUACUCCCCCUGCGGGACGGGCAUCCUGUUGCUAUCCCUACUUUUGUGAACAACUUUGUAGAAAAUUUUAUCAAAUGUUUCAAUGGGUUGGCUGUGAGAGGUCUAAUGUGUUAAUUUUUUGUAAAAGUAAAUUUGGGAAUUAGAAUCUAAAUGCAUGAUGUAUAAUAAUUGUGAAUGCAUACAUUCACAUAGUAAAUUAAAUAUAAUAUAGUUGUAUUAACAAGUUUCCUUGAUAUCCGUUAAAAAAAAUCCUAUUUCAACCUAAGUUGAAAAAGAAGUAAUCUCUUUACCAAAUAAUGUCGUUGUCAACUGUGCAGCCUUCGUGCCAGCAAGGUAUUUUUAUUGAUUGACUACUUCCUUCAUCUCCUAGACAUGCAAAGGCCAAGUUAAAAUAACUGAUGCAAUUGUACGACUGUUUCACAACUAAUUGAAAAAACUUCACAUCAACAAAUCGACUUUAUGUAAAUUCGUUUGUUUUCCUUCCUUGAUUAGCUUUUUAAUUAUAAGCGGACCCCCUAAACCAUGUUAAUGUUUCUUUUCGUGAAGUAUUGUAAGUUUUGGAAAUUUGAUCAUUGGCUUACCGUCAAAAUCCCUUCAAUUUGUUUCAAAGUGUUGAUGUUAUGCUUAAACUACAAGAGACUUUGUCUUUGUUUACAGGGGGAAAAAAAAAUAACUAAGAAACUGGUCAAGAUUAUAGCCACACGACUUGAAUUUUGACUUUUACAUAGACAAGAAACCAAACCAUUACGGGCAAGUCAUCCGUAGCUAGGUUUUAUGGACUUGCAUGAUGGACGAUAAAAUAAUUUUUUUCUUUUCAAAAAUGUUCGGUACUGAAAGGUUUUCAGGAAUAAUGCCUGAACAUUAAUAUUUCCCUCUUCUGGUACUUGAACAAAAUAAAUAAAUAAUAUAAGAAUCCCUACUGGCACCCUGGCUCUGUGUAUUUCUUUUAACCUUUAUUGGAUCCCUAAUGGAGUAUGGUCUUAGUACUCUAAACAUAGGGAAAUAUAGAUUUCUUCUUGAUCAAUUUGACUGUUUUUUCGAAAGCAUAAACAUAAUGUAUACUUCAUAUUGCAACUAUAUAUGACUAAAGACACUUGAGCUAUUGGCUUAAAUAAAGGUCAAAUUACUGGGCAUUACUAUAUAUAUACGUGCAGAUUUUGAGAUUUAAGCCUGAAAUAUUUGUAUUGCAUCGCACAUAAUUAAUUGCACUAAACAAACUACAAGGAAGAGAAUGACAACAGAGAGAGCACAGAAAGCAGAUAAAGAAAGCAGGUAGUUAUCUGAAAGUGAAAGAUGGAUCACAUGUCGGUCUCCAAUUUACCAAAACCUAAUAUAAUAUUAAAAAUUUUGAUACUAUCAGAUCACAAUUUUACUUGUUAGCUCCUAGAUUUUUAUCAAUUUGCAAAAAGUAAAGUAGGCAUUUUAAUCUUGCCAAAACUAAGUGAAAUUUAAAAAAAAAAAUGUUGAGAUUGGAAGUAGGAGAAAGUGAAGUAGCUAAUUAUACAUAAGAGGAAGGCUAAUUACGUUUUGUUUAUUCUAAAUAGGCAUACAUGGGAUUAACUAUGGAAUAAAAAAUUACGAAAAGGGGAAAUGAAGGCAAGGAUUUUGAGUUUCUCAUUAAUGACUACUAGCGGCACUUUCAGAUGAGGAACUGAGAAGUUCCUCCAAAAGGUCAGCUCCCAAGUCCUGAAGCUCCACAACAACUUUUUCUCCUUGUUUUUCUUGAUUUCUUCUUGCUCUUUUUGACAUGCUACUCCUGAUUUUGUGGGUUGCCUUCAGAACCGCAGCUGGUGAGCUGCCAUUCUCCCAGUUAUGCUUAAUACCUUCAAGUGAUUUCUGGACUCGAUCCAUUGGAAAGUUGAGGCUAGCCAGGGGACCCCUCAUCGAGAAAGCUGCUUGAUCAUAAGCCAAAGCUGCAUCUUCUGGGCUCUCAAAUGUUCCUAGCCAAACUCUCCUUCCAUUCCUUGUUGAAUCCCUGAUUUCCGCUGCAUAUUUUCCCCAUGGACGCUUUCUUACUCCUAUGUACUGCUUUUCUUGCCUCUUGGAAUCUCUUUUCAAAUUUAAUGAUUGUAUAGCUUCAGUGGUCUCAAGUUCUUGUUUAGGAACCUUAUUGUUGUCAAGAAACCAGAAUGAGAAUUCAGAGGAGAAGUUCUGAUCAGGAGUUGGAUUCUCAUAGGAUGAAGAAUCCAUCUCUAGCUAAAAUUGAAGGGUUUGUGGUCAGUUCUCUUGCAUAAAAGUUGGGCUUUAAAAAGCCCUGGCUUUUUUUUUGGGGGGGGGGGGGGGGAGGGGGUUGUAUUUGACCUUUUUUAAAAAAAAAAAAAAUCGGUGCAGUAUUUCUUUAUGACAAGAAAAGGGUUGAGGAAUCUGAGGUUCGAAUUGGAUGGAUCAAGUCAAGAGUCCGUGGUGGAAAGUUUCCAAGGAGAAAAUGUCAUAUAAUUUAUAUUCGCAGAAACUUAUGUUAUAUUUAAGGAGGUGAAGUUAGGGGGUCGCCGUCGGAUAGUUCCUCAAUGUUAAUGUAAGAUUCUAAAUUAAGCCCACGAGCAAACAGAACUAAGAAAUGUAGAAACAGGAGAUUUUGGAAAUCUUACGUAGCCCAUAGGCUGCAAGUCAUUGGAGUAUAUCUGUAGCACGAGCUGGCUGAUGGGUUGCCAAAGAUCGAGUCCCAAAUGUGUAGCACGAGCUUUGACCAAUAUGCCGAUAUUGCCUAAAGAGUAGCCUAAUUGGUGUCAUCAAGAGAUCAAUGAUUAUAGACUCGAGGGAGCGUUGGCUUGAGUGAUUGAGAGAGAGAGUGUGUGUGUGUGUGUGUAAGCGAGAGAUUUUUCAGAUUUCUACUCUUUCACUUGCACUAAAGAAAAAAAUAAUUAUCGACUAUUCCACUUUUUAUCCAGCUAUGGAUGACCAAAGCAUGAAGGUAAUUAAGCUGUUUGGUUCCUAGCCGCCUAAAGGCUUCGUGAUUGGAAAAUUUCCAAGUGCACAAGUUCCAUUAGCAUUGAAAUCAAAGAAAAUUUCGCUAUACUUUAUUUGAUUUGGCUAAUGAUCCCUUGUGGAUACGUACUUGUUAGGAGGGGUUUUAGGUGUUAGUUUUUUUUUUUUAAAGUAUAAUUAGUUUGGAAAAGUGUCUAAAUAAAUAAGAAUAAUCGCGUGUGUUCACAUGUUAAGUUAUGUACAAUAUAAAGUGUGUUAACCACUGCAUACUAGAUACCUAUUAGAAAAACAAAUCCUACUUUAUUUUCGUCAUGAAUAACCACAUAGUUUGCAAUGUACAUGGAAGCAGGGAGAUAACAAGUGAUGCAAAUUCUACAUGAUUUUUUCCUUAUCCAGUGUCAGCUCCAAUUACCAGGAAUGCCAUGAGUAGAAAUUUUUCAAGAAAAUAAUCUUUGGAUAUUUGCGGUUGCAUAAAACUAGAGCAACAAACCAAAAAAAAAAAAAAAAAGAAAGAAAAAUUUAUAAUGCAGCAACUUUUGCAAGAUUAGACCCCAUGUCACUGUCACGCCUAUAAUCAAGUGUUUGCCUAGUUGUAAUGGUAAAUGGUUUAUGUGCUGGGAACAUUAUUAUGGAAAUAUAGUCUUCUUGUAGGGUACCGGAAUGAUUGGAAUUGCCAAAAAGAAGACUGGUUUAAUGAGGAUCAGGAAAGAGAGAACAGAAGUAGAUAGUUUAGAAUGUUCAUGUCAUUGCAAAUUUGUAUAAUUCUAAACACUUGCCUAUUUGCUAGUAAAUUCACGAACAUUCUCUGAACUAUUUAUUUUUGUUCUCUCUUUUCAAUAUGUCCUACCAUGAUUCAUCAAAAUCCACCCGAUCCAGUGGAUAAAUUCACUCAUCUAAUAAGGAAUACUAAUAUUUGUUUAAUCCAAAAUACUUGCUUCUUUGUUAAGGCUUGCAUUUACCUGGCCAUCCUUUAAGGGUCAAUUAGAAGGAGAAUUUCACUAAUUCAUAAACCUUGAAAAUAUAAAAGGACAAGAUUGAUUAAAUUCAAUGGUCACUAAAAUAAAACAUUGGAAUUAACUUUAGAAUGUUCAAAACGUAAAUUUUUUUUUUGGUAGGCGUAGUGUUUCAUUCUGUACAAACCCCACAAUCCCCUCGUAUUGCACUUUCUUGGAAUUAGAAGUACUCUUUGAAGUUUAGCCCUAUGGUUCUACAUCCUCCCUUUGGCUUCUUCCCUCCGCGGUAAGUCCUGCGGACGCCUCCUUUUUUCUUUAUUUAUUUUUUGUUUUAGUAAAACUACAAUGUGAAGCCGAAAAUAUAAAAUGAAGCAAUUUUAGAAUUGCGUAGUAUCUUGGUUAGCCUAAAUAAAAAUGCAAUGCCAUUUAGUAGGAGCCAGUGAAAUCUUGAUCUAGUAGUCAAGAUUAAAAUAAGCAUCAGUAUGUGAGCUUCUUCUCUCACUAUUUGUGGACUUAUUUUUAAUAUUAUUGAGUUGUAAUUUUCACUAUUUAUGAAUUAAUUUGUUGAUUGUAUUAUAUAUUUGAAUCAUUGCGCGUUCUUUGUAAUCUUAUUAAAAAUACAUCUAUGAUUAGUAGGAAAAAAUCAAGUUGAUGAGGCAUUAGAUUAGUGGUUACGGUUCAAAACCCAAUAAUUAGAGGUCUUGAAUUGCCCCUUUCCAUUUUUAAACCCCACUUCUCUGCCACUAAAAAAAUAAUAAUAACUAUAAUUAUAAUAAAAUAGCCAGGACAAAAAAAAAAAAAAAAGAAUUCCUACGGUUUCCGUUAUUGCUUAAUGGGUAAAAAACAAAAAAAACCCCUUGAUAAAUCUAAUACACAAAAAAGCCCCUACGUGGCAAAAUAUACAACACGAUACCCUAUACUUUGAAUUAAAUUGUAAAGGUGACAGAAUUCGUUAAACUUAACGGAAAUGGACGAAAUGACCAAAAUAUCCUGAUAUAAUUAAGCAAAAGACAGCUCAAAAAAAUCAUUUGUUUUAUUCUCUAGAUAGAGAGAAUUGAGGGUAAAGGGGUAGAACAAGUAUAUCUGUUAAAAAUUAGGUAUAAAAUUUUUUUUUCAGGUUCCAAUAAGUCAUUUUCGUUAAGUUUAACGGAUUCUGUUACCUUUACAAUUUAAUUCAAAGUACAGGGAAUCGUAUUGUAUAUUUUGAAAUUACGAGAGACUUUUCUGUAUAUUAAAUUUAACACGGGAGGUUUUUUUUUUUUUUUUUUUGUAUUUUACCCUUGCUUGAUAAAGACAUGUACAGGCAAGUAGUUGUUUAAUAGAAUAAUGAUUGAUGCGGUUUCUUUUCUGUCUGAAAAAUAUAGUAUUUAUAUGAAUCAUUCAUUGUUUGUUGGAUGGUGAGAAUACUCAACGGCCUUGCCUAAUUUGACCGGGGGCCUACCGUCCGUGAUUGAUUCGUUGGCCGCUGCGUUACUUAGAAUCAAAAAAUCGUUUCUCCAUUAUUAGUCAUCUUCGCAGUGUUGUCGCCUGGCAAACGUCCACGGCCACCGGAAAGGACCAAUUGGGCGGCGGUCCUCUUUCCGUUUUCUUUCUUUUCAGUUUUUCCUGUUAUGUAGUAUAUGGUUUGGAAACGUCUACUCCAAAAACGUUGAAUAUUCAAUAUUGUAUCAGCAUUAUGCAAUGCAUCUUAUUUGUUAAUGCCACACUCAAAAAGGAGAACAAGGAUUUCUCGUUUUUCAUUGCAAUCGGACCGAAUAACUACGUAUCCAUUGCAGCAACAAUCAUACCAUAAAGUCUCUCUCGCAGCUUUCUGAAAAAGAAAUUUAAUUACAAAUGUCAAAGAGGUGCAUUUUCUAGUUUCUUUUAUACCACUUAAGUAGCAAACAAUUUUCUUUUUCUCUUUAGCUAGUGUGAGAGGAAUGGGUAGAAAAUGGACAAGAAAGGGGAAGACCUUUUCUUUUCUUUGAGAGUUUUAAGCAAAAUGAUAAUAACAACAACAAUAAUAAUAAUGGAAAUUAGUGGAGAACAAAAUGAAAUGAUAGAAUGAUAGCAAAAACAUUUCUUUUUCUUUGGCUAUAUGAUUGUUUCAUGAAGAACCCGAUUGGCUCUGAUUUGGCAAUAUUAUAGGUGAUCGGACCUUAAGGCCUUCAAUUUGGGCCCUUUAGUCUUUUGGUCCGCACAUAAUUUUUGGACUUUCCCGUAAAAUGUUAAGGUUAUUUGACUUAAGUCUCUAUUAAUGACGGCUAAUUAAAACACUGCAUGUAUUUGGAUGACUAAAUUUUUUCGAAUUCUCCCGUCAUGUCUGCAGCUAUUUGUCCUUGAUUACGAUUUUCUUGAAAUAUUGACAUCUUCUGAAGUUGAGCAAGUGAUUCACCGCCACCAUCUUAAAAUUUGACUAAUUGUGUGAAAGAGAUCCACCAGACCUUCGAUUAAGGUUUAAAAAAGAAAGUAUUUGAUCCUUUUUAUGUUUUGCAUGCAUGACCCAAUUUGUUUAAACUAACCCAACAACAAAGCCUCAAAGGAUAGAUUAAAGGGCUGGGGAGCGGGGAUAGAGGCUGAUAGAUGUGCGCCGUGCGUGGAGAUCGAGGAGAUGUUGAAUCCCUAUCAAUUUUUUGAUUGUGAAGUUUUCUUGUAUAGCGUGGCAGAAAGUUCAGAGCUUAAUUAUGCUUCGAUUUUUAGGGAGACAGCCGUAACUAAACUAUAGCGAAUUGGCUUAUAUGGUUAUAGGUAGGGUUUUUGGACUACCUCAUCAUUGUUUUGGCUGAUACAUAUACUCUAUUUUGUAUUUGUCAGAGUGUAGUUUUCUGGUUUAUUUGCUGAGUUUCUGGAUGAUCCCUUGCACGAGCUUUGUUGAUGAUCCAAUCCAUAAAAGUUGAGCUUUGCCCAAGGGGAAAGACCCAGCCAAAAAAAAAAAAAAGAAAAACUCAGUAAAUGCUCAAAUUAGGCAGUUUUCAUUCAAAUUAAGUGCAGAAAGAUCAAUUAACUAACAGUGCACACCUAUAAAACUACUCUAAUUCCUACUCUAUCACCUGCAAAAUUGAAAUUGUGUCUCUGUUGCCAUUUUGCACAAUUUACCUAUCAUUAGGCGUGCAUUUCUGGGGGUGCACUAUGGAUUAGAGUUUUUUUUUUUUUUUUUGAAAAAAAAAGGAAAGAAAAGGGAAAACUAGUUCUUUUCUGAAAAAUGAAAAUUUAUAGUUAUGUUGGAAUUUAAAUAUAGUUGGAUUAAAUUAAAAAAUUUGGUUCAAUUUAUGUAUGUCUGGUUGCGAAUGGAGUUUUAAGUAACUAAUCAUAAUUAAAAAGGAGAUCAUGUUGAAGGUUGAUUACGUAAUACUCCUUAGUCCCGACUCGCUUUAAAUUUAUCAUCAGCAUUAAAAAGUUGAAAAAGAAUCACAUCUACCAUCACCAAUAGCAUUAAGUGGGAUUAAGGUGCAAAAGCUCGUCAAACACUACUAUAAAAACCAGGAAGAAAAACCGGAGCCAAUUACAGAAGAAAGAAACAAGACUAAAUGAACAUGAAUUGGCCUUGUACCAUAUGUGCGCAUGUGAGUGUACAUAUGAUAUGUCGAUAUAAAUGUGGAUAUAUUAUGAUGAAAAGAAUUCAGUCAUUUAACAAUAAAUUUAUUACCUAUGUUAAUUGGUAAAUAAUUAAUGACCCAUACCCUGUUAAAAAAUUCACCCGAAGUCACACUCAUCUUAUGAAUUUUUAAUUUCUCUAUUCCCAUUUUCUAAAUUUUUCCAAGUUUGAAAAGUUAUUAGCAGGGUUUGUUUUGUUUUUUCUCAUGAAGUACACUGGUUUUGGUCUCGAUGAAGUACGUUAUUGGUUGAUGAGGUGCAUAAGGGGUGCAAAAUUUUCCUUCAAAGAGGUACAUUUCAUUUCUAAUAGGAUCUUUUGUGCUAGAAAAGUAAACUAAACAGUUUUGUCAAUUUGGACUCUAAGAAAAGUAGAAAACAUGCUACCGCCCCGCUCUACAAGACACUUUUGUAGUGGUCUGAGAUUCAGCUGACAUAAACCAAAGUUUCAAUGACCACAACUCUUCCUGGAUUACUGAGUAGAGCUGAGGGAGCGAACAACAGUUGAAAAUAUUAUACUUAAAAAGAAAAAAAGAAAAGAGGCGGCUGCUGCUGCGGCGACUGAGGUGGGGAAUUGCUGCUCCGACGUGGCGGCGGACUGUCGGCGGUCGGCGGCAUUGCUUCAUUUUAAGCUAAUUCUUCCAACGCUCCGAACGAUGCGAUAGAUGCUUUUCUCAACUCUCGCGGCUGCAAAUGCCUUUACUCUCAGAUCGAGGCUUCCUUUUAACUUAAUCCAGAGUAAAAUCAAUAAAUGCACGCGUUUUUUUCCCCCUCGCGUUCUUUUAUGUAUCUGCAUGUGAAAUGAGCUGAUAAGAGGAAUGAGCAAUGGAGAUGCUUCAAAGUACAAUUCAAUUGAUAGUCGUGAUUAGUGUAAUUUAUUUUAAUACAUUUUUUUUUCGGUUGAAGAGUUAAGAUGAGAAUAUGUGAUAUUUUAGUAAAUUUCUGGAGUUUAGGCGUUGCUUGCUUGCUUAGGCAUUGAGAGAUAAAUUCAGGGAAGCGAAAAGAUGUUGCUUGACAUGAAAUGUCAUCAAAUUGAGGUGAAAGAUUACCAUAUUUGGAUCAUACGCAAAAAUGAAGCAUCUUUCAAAAAGUUUCAGUUUUGAAUUGAUUUUUGCUAUGUAUAUUCUACUGUAUUUGGAAUAUCUAAUAGUGAUAGAAAACAAAUUAAUGGUAGUCUGGAUGCGAAUGCUUCACUGUAUUGUAGAACAAUAUUAUGAUUCAUGCUUCGAAAACUAAAUGCAAAAUGCUACAGAUUAGAAUACAAUGCAGUAAAUGAAAAGCCUUGUUAGUUGCAAUCUUAUUGAACUUCACUUCUUGAUCCAAAACCAUAGGCCUCAACAGAUGAUAACUAUUAUCACCUGAAGCAUGGUUUUUAUGCUAUAAUCCUUCCCUUUCUUGAGUCCAUCAUGUGAGAUGAUUGAGUCUUCAGUCAUUAACAAGGUAAUUCCUAAGGUCUGUUGUACAUAGACAUCACACCAAACAGAAUGGAUGGGUAUCUAGCUCUCCCCUAAUUCUCUUGUGGUUCAGUUUUCUGUGGUACUUUGCAAGUUGGUCAAAUUAGGUCAGGUAGAGUAUUGGCUUCAUGCUCUAUCUAUUGUAUAAAGCAAGUUUCCCCAUUUUUCGGAGAGCAGCAAACUUGUACGAACUUAUGUGUUUGAAUUCAUUUCAGUCAAUGUGGUUGAACGCAAAAACCUCUUGCUGCUAAAAAAGACUAACUUUUUGUUCAAUGUGAGCCAUGUUGUUGCUAUACCAUCGAGUAGUAGUUCCACUAGUUGAAUCCCAAUUAAACUUUUUGUAUGGAAGCAAACUUGGGAAGGGUUUCUUGAAUUCUUUAUCUUUCUUGCUAAUUCUGCAUAUUAUUAGUCUUUUCAUUUAACAAACUUACUGGUAAAUUAGAGCUCAGCAGUCUUUGUAAACACCGACAAUCAGUAUUCUAUUCUAGUCAUACUUUCAGCUUUAAUAUGAUAAAGGUAUCUAACACUAAGUUCUUGUUUGCAAAUUUGUGUAGUUGUCUCUCUCUGCUACGAACAUGCGUGAUCAGGACGCGUGUGCUAUCCAUGGUUUGUUCAUCAUUUCCUGAUGUUUCAUGAUUAUCAACGAAUUUAUGUUAGGUCUUCUAAACAAAAAAUGGCGAUAUGCAUUUGCUUAAUAUUUCUCAAUGUCUCAGAGGUUUAGGAGCUCCAUUUUAUAGCUUCACAAUUUUUGAAAUCAUUUGUAAACGUUUCUUCAAGGUGAAGAGCAAAAAUGAAAGCGUAUAGCACUAAAAAUUAUUUAAAAAUUAUCUAUGAUAUCCAAUGCAGUGGAGCUUGUACUCUCUUGUAGAUCUUACGAAGUGAUUAUAGGAUGAGCAAGGGGAGGUUGGCUAUGCUAUCUUACGUAGAAUACUCCUUUUAAUUGAUCACUUUCAUAAUGAGCUCUUUGUAGCCUCUAGUGCAGUAUCUGCAGACAGAAGCAGACGUAUGUAAAUUUAAUAUGGAACAUUCAUGCUUCCUGGCCUAAAAAGUUUUGUAGAUAUAAUCUGUUAUAUGACACUUUAAGAUACUUGAGGACGUUCAACUAUUUAAUCAAAUCAGACAGGAACUUUCCAGCUUCCAUUUGGAUGCUGUAUUUUCUUUGUGGUGUCUCAGGAUAAAGGAACAAUUGUCUGUCUAAUAAUGACUUGGUAAUUGAAAUUGCGAUUGAGUUUGUCUAAACAGAAAACUGAGGCAUAUCAAUAAGCAUAAGGGAAGUGGAUAUAGUGUGGUCUGUAUUGACAUCUAAACGUUGGAGAAGCUCAACUCUCUCUCUCUCUCACGAUUAGAUUUUUGACAAGCACAGUUGUCGAGAAGAUUGUCAAAUAUCUGAAGCUUCCUGUAUUCUUGUGUUUUGGUAUUCUUGUUCUGCCAUGCAGUUUAUAUCAGGAAACUAUAUAAAUCGCUAGAUCAGGCAAUCUGCCAUUUAGGAUUGUUGACACCAAACUAGCAUGAUAUUCCUGUACACUUUAUUCAAAUUAAAUGUACCGCAUGUAAUGUUUACCUUCCCUGUAGUUACUGGAGUAGAUGCAUUUGCUAGCUUUCUGUCCUUGUUUAAGUUGUCAGUAGCAGAAUUGGAAACUGAAAGAUGCAAGACUGCACUUAAACCCCUUUCAAUUGCACCUUGCACCCUUCUCCACCCAUCGACUAAUAUGAUCUCGAUUCUCGAUGAGAAGUUUAAUCUGCAUUUAUCUAUGGUAUGUUUGUAUUUAUAAUGGAUAUAAUAAGGAAAUAACUGAUGCUUGUCCACCUGGUUUGGUCUUGUUUUACUUGGCCAGUUUGGAUGAUUGACAAGCAUGGCCAACUCUCGUUUGUGAAAAGUCGCUUAAGUUGCUUAUUAACUUAAAUUGUUCGAGCUAUCUAAUAUGACGAAUAGUACUUCUCAAUGAUUCUUAUGAUUUACACUCAACAAUAGCGUCAAAUUACGUUUUAUCACAAUUUUAGGGACAAUCUCAAACCCCACAGUCUUCUGCUGUCAACUUCCUCUCUCUGGUCUGCUAUUCUCCAUAUACCACUGAAAUAAAUCCUUUAUACACAAUCACAGUUACUAGAUUCAGGAUUACCACUGUUUGUCUUUGGUUAGCACUUACAGACCUUGUUUUUUCCAGAGUGAUCCUAUGGCUGUUAUUUUUAUGCCGGAAAGAAAGAUAGUUCGCUUUGAGAGUUUGGUCGUGCUGAAGUUCUUUUGAAGUCUCCUGAGUUACAAGUGGAUUAAAAAGUUCAGUAUUGCCUACCAGUUUGAGAUAGUGCAGGAUUUAGGGUGAGUAUGGCUCCUUGAAAUCAUGGAUUUGUGUCAUGCAAGUACAAUUUUCGCUACUACAUGUACUUUGAUGGUAAUCUUCAUUGCAGGUUUCACGCGUAUGAUGUCAAUACCCAGUUUCGCGACAUAGAUGUAAAGGUAUGUCACGCUGCUCCUAUAAAAUGUUCUUCCGAGAAUUGAAUCCUUAGAGGAUUGAUUAUCUGUUUUAUGGGAUGGUGUCCAGUUGUUGAGGACUUGUUGAUUUCAUGUUAGCAUACCCAUUAUGAACAGUUUGUUUUGCAAAUAUAACAAAGAACAAUAAUUUAAGUUGAGGUACGACAACUAAUUAAUUUGCUUCUCGAUUGGUAAAUUUACCUGAAGCAUCUAGGUUGUUGAGAGAAUGCUAGAUCUUUGACCCUUGUAGAACAUGAGACUGUAAAGCUUGUAAUUACCAAAAAAAGAAAAAGGUUAUUUAUGAGGUCGACAAAAGUCAAGUUAUCUAUUUUUAUUGACUGCAUUAUAAAAAAAAAAUAAAAUGCCAGUCAUUCUCUCCUUCUUCUAAUAAACAAAAGAUUAAAAAAAAAAUGCUAUCUAUAAAACUCAUAGUUAUUAAACCCAACCCGGGAGGGAACCCGGUGAACGAGGUGGGUCAACGGGUUACUGGUUCAACCAGUGGGUGGGUGGUUGAACCGGUGGGUCACUAAAUAUAUUUAAAUAUUAUAUUUUAUAAUUUUAAAUAUAAGAUAUAUGAUAUAAAUUAUAAUAAAUAAUGUCAUAGCAAAUGCUCAUAUAAUUUAAUUUGCUAUAAAAAAUUAAUUCAUAUAAGAAUCAAUAAAAUAUAAAGUUAUUUAGUAAUACACCAAACUUCAAGUAUAAAAUUUUAUCUAUGUUUAGUGUAAUUAUCUAACUUAUUUAUAAAUUUUAAGUGCAAAAAAUUAUUAAAAAUAAUAUAUGUUUUUAAAAUGAAUUAUGUAACAUGUUAAUUUUUAAGUCCAUUUCAUAAGUUUGGGGGUCAUAAAUUAUUAUUAAAAGAUUCCAAAUUAAUUUGUUUUAGAGAAAUAAAACAGAAAGAUAAAAUUGAUAAAAUGUUUAUAUAUAAUAUGUAAGCAACCUUAUCACCAUCUCGCGAGGUAGCCUAGCGGUUUCGUCGAUGUUGCUUUGUAUCAGACGCACAGGUUUCGACUCUCAGUCUCAGCACUGUCAUAACAUUUUUAUAUGAAACCCGGUUCUUAGACACAACCGGCCGGGUUUCCGGUUUAAUCCGGUCGAACCGGCGGUCCGUUGACUAAUCAACGGGUUGAUUACUUAAACGAUCCAAUUGAAAAUCCAGCCCGGUCCCAUGUCCAGUUCACCGGUUUGACCGGUUCGACCGCCAGACCGAGCCGAGUUUAAUAACUAUGAUAAAACUUCAACAUGAACGUUGAAAAGAAGAGAUAUCUAUAAUAUCCUAUGUGCAGAAAUUAAAGGUGCUGUUUCUUUUCCGUCUGGCAUGAUUGCCAACUCAUUGGCACCGCCAUCCAUCACCGCAGAUGAUAAAAAUUCGAGUUCGUUAGUUGGCAAGCUGCCAAUUCUUUCUUGAAUUGCUCCACCCGUUGCUGUUGGUUGGAACUUGUCCUUAUUGCGGGCCCGGCAUGCCACAAAAUUUUGUACCUAGAAGCAAGACAAACUAAUUAACUCAAAGAAUUAAUCUUUCCUACCUGACUGAUAGAAGAUAGCACUGGAUGAAUGAUAACUAUGUAAAAUUUGAAUUUAAAAUUCAAUUUUUACAUAUAUAUCAUGAAUUCAACGAUGAUAGUAUAUACACUGUUAGUGUAUAUAAAAUUUAUUCCUUGAGCAUAUUAUUCUCACUUAAGAAACCAAAAAAUAAACUUUAUUCUGAGUUAAUGGCAAUAAUUACCUUGGCUUGGGUAGUCUCAUCAACUUUUCCAUCUAAUUGGUCAGGAUUCAAUCGAUAUUCGUACAUGGUCCAAUUACUUUUGGUUCCAUUGGGCGAGUGUCCCCAAUAAAAAUCCACGACCUGUUUGAAGCCAAUAAUUCUAUUAUCAAGACCAAUUUCAGCCGGCAAGCCUGCGGGACUCCAAUAACCAUCUGUGGUGGGAAGGUCACCGGCUAAACGAUGGGUGAAGAAAAACCAUUCACCGGCCACUCCAUAUUUGAAUUUAUCUGCAUGACAGCUCGCAAUUCACAAACAAAAUCAAUACCAUAAAAAAAAAAUUUCAACCAUUUCACAUGCGCAAUAGUUCUAUUUUUACCAGAAAAAGUAAUACGACUCACUAAUUCUCUAAGGGUGUGUUUGUUUCGACCGAAAGUAUUUCUAGAAAAUUGACAAACCACAAAAGGUAGAGGAGCAUAUACAAUUGAAUAAAAACAUAGAACAUGCCUAAGGGAAGUUGAUCAGGGUUGUGUGAAUAUACAUCAAUUGUUGGAAUAAUAUCUGCAGGAAGUUCUCCUCCAAGAAUCUUCUGCUUCAAAUAAUGUAUGACUUGAUCAUUGGUAGGGUAAAAUCUAUAUCCAAAGGGUAAGUUCAACACUUGUUUUCCAUCACCAGAAGAAUUUCUCGGAUGAGCCAUGGAAUUGCUUAGGGAAAAAUCCAAAGAAGAAAAGCUCACAAUAUCAAGAAAAGUAUGCACCCGAGUAUUACAAUUAGAGAAGAGCAAGAUCUAGUGGUUGACACAAAUCUUAUUCAAGAAGGGUGAUAUCCAAGCCUGAACUUUUAUUGAUGUUUAUAUAGAAGUCACUAUGGUUAAAUAUCCUCGUACAAUUUGAAUUUGGAUUAUGUUAGACUUCCUAGUGCGGGAAGGAGUAGGAAUUGAAAAUUAAAUGUAGGAAACUACUUAUAUUGGCUUCUGGCUAUAGCAACUCAAUUUUUUCCGGUAGUUUCCUUAUUCCUUGGACACAAAUCUAUCGCAAGCGUUUUGUGGAAACUUAAGAUACAGGCUGUCGCCUUUAGAAUUUCAGACACCUACUAUAACCAAUGCUUGUAACUUGUAAGCCCUGUGGUAUAUUUCAUAAAACACCCUCCAAUUUUUUUAAUUUAUAUAAACGAACCCUCUUCGCUCUUCCCACAAUGCCAUUCUCUAGAUUAUCUCUCGCAUCCUUCACGGACAUGAUCCUCCCAUUGCACAACCACGAGAUCGUACAGGUUUCUUUUGAUUUUCCUCCAGGUUUAGAUUGAUUUUCCAGACCUGAAUGGGCUCGGCUUCAGGUUUAGAUUGAUUGAGUCGAAGAAACAGGAAAGAAAAAAUGAAAGUGGCCCGGUGGGAAUUACACCCUCAUUAUAGGACGCGAAACAAAUAUGAGAAUACCCAAUUCUCUUCAUUCCAUGUAUUUAUGUUGUCAAUACUGGAACAAAAGUAAGCUUUCCAAUCUUUUCAGAAAGGUAACAGAUAUCAAUUCUCACCCGGUACUGCCCUUGAGAACCCUUAACCCCGCUUUUUUACUAACCUUAACCCCGUGAGAACCCUCAAAAGCCGGCAACUUUUGAAGGUCUCACAGGAGACUAAUAUACUAACCACCCAAACCCCCCCAACCCCGAUGUGGGAUAUCAACCUCCACAAGGGAGCCUGCCAGACCUAAAAAGACCCCAUACCCCCGUGACUGAGGCUGAUGUCUUUUUUGUCAAAGUCAGCAGAGUUUUGGACGCUUUUUUACGAGCCAUGUAUUUAUGUUGUCAAUACUGGAACAAAAGUAAGCUUUCCAAUCUUUUCAGAAAGGUAACUUUUGCGAACUGGAAUGGCCUUUCGUUUUAAGGUCCAAUCCAAGGACAGCAUGAUGUGUACAUAAUGCAAUAACAUACAAUUUUAGCUAAAGUUGGGGUAUGUUUAAACAAAAUAUAUGAACUUGGUCGUACCGUUACAGGCGCAUGGAUUUUGAAAGCUCCUGUAAUUAAUUGUCGUGUGAGUAAAAGAUUAGGAUAUUAGUGAUGAAUCUAUCUGUAUUUGGUGAUAAGCUUAGAAUGACAAUAUUGUGAAAAGUUAGACAAUUAAUUCUCCAUCUUCAGUGACUUCAGCUAUUGUCAUCAACUCAUCAUACAUUAGCACCAAAACUCUACAUCAACUUUUUUUUUGAGCUUGUGAAAAGAAAAAUGACACACGACAUAAAAAGGUUAAAAAAAGGCUGUAAUUAAAUGCAUCUCGGCCUCCAACUAUUUUUUUUUUUUUAUCUUUUUUCAACAAAGAUCAGAUGGUAGUGCAUGUAUGAUAAUUCAUCAUUCAAAAAUGGAAAAUAGGUUCACGUAGAAUUUAGUUGGCAACCCAUAUUCUAAUACUCUGUUCACUCAAAAAAAAAAAACCAUAUUUGAAUAUGUUAAGCUUGUGCAUUAAUCUUGGUCCCCCCCCCCCCCAAACAACACAAAACAACAAACAACACCUAAAAAAUUGAGGCUGAGGUACCUGAUACGAGUAAUUAAUAUUAUUCAACAGAUAAGAAAAUUCCAGCAUUCAUCUUGUAGCUAGGUAUGGUUAGUACAUGCGCUGCCAAGGUCCAAUGCAUCAGAACUCAUUCCUCCAUUUAGAUUUGCUCAUACCAACGUCUAGUCUUGGAUCACCCGUUCAAUUUUAAAACAAUAUUGCAUAAGAUAUGAGUAUCAAACCUUGUUUAUUGGUAUGUAUUAGUUUUCUCGCUGAACCAAGUCAAUUGUGAAUUUAAAAAUCGUAUGAGAAAUGAUAAGCUACAUGUGCAGAUGAAAAUUGACUAAAAGAGUAGCAACUUUAGGGUCCUUGAAAGCCAAAAUACUUGUCCAAUGGUUAGAAGAGGUUCUUGGAAUUCCUCAUUACAGAUUUAAGAUUCGAAUUCUGUGCAAGAAGGAUUGGAAGUGUAAAAAAAAAAAAAAAAAAAUCCAAACCACAUAGAGCAAGAUGAAGUAAAUUAGACAUUAUAAUGCAUGGCAUGAUUUAGACUUUGAAUAAGUUUCAUUUUACUUUGUAGUGUAUAUUUUAGUCCUUUAUACAAUUUGAACUUCUUCAUUGGGCUAAUCUGGUUUCACAUUUGACAUAUAUUCCUUAUAAAGGCAAUUCUUGAAGGUGUGUUUAUUGGUGCUAUUUGGGUGAACAUUCAAGACCAAAUUUCUCUUGCUCGGCAAAAAUAUCGAACUAUCCUAAGCUUGUAUGGUCCUUCCUCCAAAAAAAAAAAAAAUGUAUAUCUUGUAUUGUCCAAAGAAAGGAAAUAAUUGUGCUGACAUUGAAGCACAAGAAGUACAUUACGUACAAAACAUUAAAUUUCAACUUCCCUAGUAUAUCUAUUACAUCUUGGUCUACCCAUAGCGGUAAUCGAGAAUUUCAAUUUUAUCUCGACUCUUUGACAGGUAGGCAGAAUCUGAUCUAAUGCAGAACAAUUUGACUAGGAUAAAAAAGAAUAAAAUAACAAUGAAGAAGUUUUUUUUAAAGAAUAUUUUGGAAGAAGAUAGGCACGUACCCGUAAAUGCAAUUUAAGACGGCUGAAAUUUUUUUCCUACUUGUGAUAUUCCAUUUGUUGAUUAAGAAGGAUCUGUCCUUUCUCUGAAGGAUCUGUCCUUUCUCUGAAGGAUCCGUCCUUUUCUGUUUAUUGUUUGAGAGUGAUUUCUGGCUAAUAAGGUUUUUUUAACCCAUUAAACUAAAUAAUCAUUUUGACAUUUUCAAGUUUAUCCAUUACUUCACUUUUUUGAACUUGGCAUCCCAUGUUGCUUGCAGCAUAGUUAUUAAAAAAGGUCUACAAAGGAACCAACGAAGGAGGUGGAUCAACGAAUUACUGGUUCAAUUAGUGGAUGAAUGGUCUGGUUGAACCAGUGGAUUAUUGAAUAUAUUUAAAUAUUAUAUUUCAAAAGUUUCGAUGUAGGAUAUAUGGUAUAAACAUUAAUAAACUACACCAUAGCAAAUACUCAUUUAAGUUAAUUCAUUAUAGAAUAACUAAUACUUAUAAGAACCAGUAAAACCCAAAUUUAAUUAUUAAUCCAACAACCUUCAAGUGUACAAUUUUAUCUAUGUUUGGUGUAAUUAUCUAAUUCAUUUACGAAUUUUAAGCGCAAAAGGUGAUUAGAAACAAUAUUUAUCUUUAAAAUGAAUUGUGUAAUAUGUUAUUUUUAAAAUUCAUGUCGUAAACUAUAGAGUCUGGAGAUUAAUAAAUUUUAUUAAAAGAUUUCAAACAAAUUUAUUUUACAGAAAUAAAUAAAGAAAGAAUUGACUGAAAAAGUUCAUAAAAUAUAAAAAGGAUCAUGAACUAAUAUAUGGCCUAGUGGUCCAAUGGUAAGUGUAUUCUAUUUACUUACACAAGGACCGAAGUUGGAACCAUACCGGUACGUUACUAAAACUUUUACCACAAAAACUAUGCUGCUUAGUUUUUUACAAAAUCGGUCGAGAUUUCAAUUCAAUUCGGUUGAUCCACCAGUUCGCCGACAAAUUAACAGGUCUUAUCCUUAUCCAAUUAGAUUAGAGAUCCAGCUCAACUGAUUGCUCGAUUCAUCGAGUUAACUGGAUCGAGAUGAAUUUACUCACAAAAUCUAUGCUACUCAAUUCUUUUCAAAAUCGAUCAAGUUUUAGAUUCAAUUCGGUUGAAUCAUCAGUUCGUUGCCAAGUCAAUGUUUUAUCUUUAUUUGAUUAGAUUAGAGACCCAACUCGACUAAUUGAUUGAUUUAUCGGGUUAACCGGUUGAACCAUUGAAUCGAUCCGAAUUGAAUAACUAUGGCUCGCAAUCAUCUUAUUUAUGUAGUUUCAUUAAUGUAACAUUCACUGGUAAUUUCAUUUACAAUGUCUCAUUCAUUUUGUGUACAACUUGGUAGAAAAUGUUAUCAAAUGUUUCAAAGGGUUUGGCUGUGAGAGGUCAAAAGUAUUAAUUUGUUUAUAAAAGUAAAUUAGAAAUUAGCAUCAAAAUGCAUGAUAUAUGAUAAUUAUGAAUGCAUAUAUUCACAUGAUAAAUUACAUAUAAUACAAAUAUAUUAAUUAGUGUCCCGUGAUACCUGUGAGAAAAUUCCCAUUUCAACAUAAGUUGAAAAAUAAUAAUCGCCUUAACAAAUAACGUUGUUGUAGAAAUGUCGUCUCUCGAGCAAGAUAUUUUUAUUGACAGACUUCAUACCCAUCUGCUGACUGCUGGACAUAUAAAGGCCAAGCUAAAACAACUGGUACAAGUGGCUGACUGCUUCAUAACUAAUUGAAACAACGACACAUCAACAAAUCGACUUUACGUGAAUUCGUUUGUUUUCCUUCCUCGAUUAGCCUUUUCAUUAUAAGCGGACCCCCCAAAACAUGUUAUGUUUCCUUCUCUGAAGGAUUGCAGGAUUAAUGCCUGAACAACAUUUCCUUUCUUGUACUUGAACAAAAAGAAUAUCUUCUGGCUUCCUGGCUCCGUGCAUUUCUUUUAACCUUUUAUUGGAUCCCUAAUGGAGUAGGUCCUUAAUACUCUAAAUAUAGGGAAAUAUACGUUUCUUCUUGAUCAUUUUUACGGUGUUUCAAAAGCUUAAACAUAAUGUAUACUUCAUAUUGCAACUAUAUAUGACUAAAGACGCUUGAGCUCUUGGCUGAAAUAUUAAAGGUCAAAUUGCUAGGAAUUACAAUGUAUAUACAUGUAGAUUUUGAGAUGUAAACCGGAAAUAUAUGUAUUGCAUCGCAGAUAAUUAAUUACACUAAAGAAACCACAAGGAAGAGAAUGACAACAGAGAAAGCAGGUAUUUAUCUGUAAAUGAAAGAUGGAUCUCAUGUCGAUUUCCAAUUUACCAAAGCCUAAUACAAUAUUAAAAAUUUAAUAUAUCAGAUCACGAUUUCACUUGUUAGCUCCUUUAUAUUUAUCAAUUUGCAAAAAGAAAAGUAGGCAUUUUAAUCUUGAUAUAACUGGCUAAAAUCUCUAGGCGAUUUUCUGUUAAAAGUAAAAGAAGAAAAAGUGCUGAGGUAGGAAGUAGGAGAAAGUGAAGUAGCUAACUAUACAUAAGAGUGAGGCUAAUUUCAUUUUGUUUAUUCUACAGAGAUAUACAUGGGAUUAAUUAUGGAAUACAAAACUACCAAGAGGGGAAAUGAAGGUAAUUAAGGACUUUAAGUUUCUAAUUAUGACUACUAGCGGCACUUUCAGAUGAGGAACUGAGAAGCUCCUCCAAAAGGUCAGCUCCCAAGUCUUCAAGCUCCAGCACAACUUUUUCCUUUACGUGUUGUUGCUUCAGAUUUCUCCU